This 49587-nucleotide long non-coding RNA is filed under the name Brassica rapa (field mustard). RNAcentral's name for it is "long non-coding RNA (BRAP_LNC001614)". Lineage: Eukaryota; Viridiplantae; Streptophyta; Magnoliopsida; Brassicales; Brassicaceae. The record is from RNAcentral.
AAACCAAAACGUUAGCCAUAGACCUGUAUUUUUCUGAUUAGAUCUAGAACGAAAGAGAUGUAGUUUAUGAGAAGAACCAAGCAUACAUUCUUAUAGUCGACUCAAAUGCCUUGCACAUCGCAUUGAACCCAGAUCGUGGAUGAUAGAUUAAUUGGGGGGGGGGUGAUUAAAGAUGAUUGAAUUAUCGGUUUCUGAGAUCUAGCGACGAAGGAGACGGAAGGUCAGAUGCGCAAGUUGAAUCGCCUUUCAAGCUAUAGACGCGAGAAGGUCCCAGCGGAACCUAAUCCAAAACGUUGCGUUUAGUGACAUUAUUUUUAAAAAUCCGUGACAUUAUGGGCUGCAUGGUGAUAAGGCCAAUUAAACAAUUUAUGCUCCAAAAUACGGAUUUAAACGAUGCGCUGCGUUUGCUCUGGUUGGACAGGUGUUGAAACCGCCUUCUGCUAAGGUAGAACUUUUCUUAAAAAGGCAAGAACAUAUAGUUUCCUAAUUAUAUUAACUAUUUCAUUUAAGGAAAUUUCAAAAAUUAUUUUGUAUGUGAGCAUGCCAAAAAAACUUGCAAAACAACUGGUAAAAAUUUACUCAUUAAUGUCCAAAAUUAUUAGCAAUAGUCAUAACCAAAUAACUGAAACCGGAAAUUUAAGCAGAUUAAUUUUUUUUUUUUAAAAACGUAAUGCAAAGUGUGCAAGAUUAUUAUAUGUAUAUAUUUUACGCGAAAAUUGGAAGUGGAUUACGUUUUUUAACGCGAAAUUUAGAAGUGGAUCAUCAUCUAUAUUUUUUUUUUUUAGCUUGCACGGUUUUCCUUUUCGUAGACUUAUUUAGUGUUGCCUGUAUCGUGUAAUGAGAAGUAUAUGUAAGUUGUUUCUAAGAUCAGUGUCUAUCUAGAUUUUGAUAAGUGUUGGGAAAAUUUCAGAUGCAAUUUGAGUCAUUUGAGUAAUCUAUACAAUUUUGUAAGUACGGGCAUGUUUUGAUGAACCUGUAAAUUUUUAUUCAAUUUCAAGUUUGGUCUGCUUUGUUAUGUCGGUUUAUUUGCUUGUAAUAUUUAAUUUUAAGAAUCAGUGAAAGUAUCAUGAAACUAAUAUACAUACUUAAAGACAAUAACAUGUCCGUAUGAUAUUUGUGUCAACUAAUAUGCUUUCUAUUACGUUUUCUGGUAGACAGAUUAGAAAUAGUUUGCCAAAUAAACCGGAUUGAUAAAACCGGUUUUUUUUAAAUGCUAUUGUAAUGACUGAAAAUAAAAGUGGUAAACCAUAAAGUUAAAUAACAAACAUGAUUCAUUGCGUGCUCCAGAAGAAACAUUAUCUUCACAGACACGCCAAUGUCUGUUACAGAUUAUGAACUUCUAAUUCUCGACCCUGUCUGGCAUCACUGCGACAAAAAAAAAUUCUCAUCAGUCGUUGCAUGAACAUAACAGACUGAAUAUAACAUAGGAAAUGUUAGCGUGAAGUUCACCUCAAGCUCGUUCUCGAGAACUUUUUUCCCCUGCAAUCAUAAAGAUCUAGUCAGCAUCUGAAACAAUACGAAUUGAAAUGACACACUAACAAAAACCAGUUCAAUAUAAACCUUGUUGUUACAGAGGCCCUUGAAGAUCUCUUUGUAGACUAUAUUUGUCACUCCAUCAGCUCCAUCUGAAUCAGAGGAAUCGUUUAAUAUCUUAAGCCCUUCCGGUGAUGUCACUCGAGAUAAAGCAACGUACAACUGGCCAUGGGUGAAGACCGAUCUAGGGAGGUACAAAGCAGCUUGUUUGAGGCUUUGCCCCUGACUUUUAUUGAUUGUCAUCGCAUAGCAUAGACGCAGUGGGUAUUGACGUCGGCAAAACGUGAAUGGAAGCAAAGUGUCAAGAGGGGUAAGCUGAAUCCGGGGGAUCAACACUGUUUCGCCUACUUGCGUGCCAGUCAUGAUCUCAACUUCUACUAUCCUUUCGCCUACUCGACUGACUAUCAUCCGUGUCCCAUUACAUAACCCAUACGCUUGGUUAAGAUUACGCAGCAUCAUUACCGGAGACCCCACCUUCAAGCAUAGCCUGUGGUUAGGCAGGCCAGAGAACUCAAGUGAGUUAAGAUAUUCUUGAGGGUAGUGGCUACUCCAAUCAUCAUCUGGCGUGGCUUCUAGCUCAACCGAAUCGGAGCUCAGAUACUCCUUUGCUUCUGAUGGAACCUGAGACAGCAUAUAUGCGUUAAGCUCAUGAACAGUACUAUUUGUAGGUGUCAGCACCGCUCUCUCUGUUAAGUACUUCCUGUUCCGAUAAUUAUGAAUGAAGUCAGGAUAUGCUGCAGCUGCUAAUGCCUCGUGUGGUUUGUCUGUUGCAGGGAUCAUGAAUCUUUGGUCCACAUCAAUUUGUUCACCCUCUUUAUUUUUGCUCCUGUGAGAGGAGACGGUAUCAGCUUCCCCAUCACCAACUUCCAGAAUCCAUUUGGCGAACUCCCUGUCUGCUUCUCUCAAACGCAUGUUGAUGGAAAGAGUAUAGACUACUGCAUUUUUCCAUAGAUAUGAUUUGCUGAUCGAUGCUAGGACUGUGUCUGGUCUUCUUCCAUGAGGCACAACUGGCAAUAUUUGCCUGAAAUCACCUCCCAAGAGAACAGUCUUGCCACCGAAAGGUUUGUCAGCAGCCGUAGGAUCUGCAGGAGUCAACAAAUCUCGGAGGGAACGGUCGAGUGUCUCAAACGCUUGACGGUGUGCCAUUGGAGCUUCAUCCCAUAUUAUUAAAUCUGAUUUGGCUAUCAACGAAGCCAACAUAGAAGAUCUUGGAAUAUUACACAUUGACACAUCGCUCAGUGUAAGCGGCAGUUUGAAUCUAGAAUGGGCUGUUCUACCACCGGGGAGUAAUAGCGCAGCAACACCAGAGGAUGCUACUGGGAUGACGACUUUGUUGGCUGAUCUAAGCUUUGCGAUUAUCGUCCUGUAUAGGUAUGUUUUCCCAGUACCUCCUGCUCCAUUAACGAAAAAUAACUGUCCAGAUUGCUUAUGAACAGAUUCAAGCACCGAAUCAUAUACUACUUUCUGAUCUAGAUUCAUUGUUUCGAACAGCUCAUUAUGCGUCUCAGUCUCUUGUUGAAUGUUAUAACUCAACUCCUGCAUCAGCACUGUGUUAGAAAUCUCAGUCAGAAUAGCAUCAUCAGGCACUGGAAUGGCAGGGUAAUCCGCUAGAGACUGACCAUUCUCCUUCAGUAGCUGUUCGAGCUCGAUCAGAGUAUAUUGUUUUAGCUGGUCGUCGCUGAGUUCAAGCCCUGGGAAUCUGAAUUCCUUUCGUUUGAUAUAAAGGAUGUCUUCUGCCAGAAACUUCCACGUAUGGUCCCAAAGCUUUAGUGGAUCUAUAACUUGACAAAAAAGUAAGAUUAUCACAAACAACCGUCUCAGCUGUCGACCCGUAGCCCAAUAUGAUGGCUCUUCUAUAGCAUCAUGCCAUUCUCUGUCGUCAUCAAGCAACCCCCGCGCGUAACAUGCUUCUCUAUACUUUUCAAAAAGCACACCCCCAACUGUUUUUAAAUCCUCAAAACACGUAGGCCCUUUAACAACAUUUACCAAAAUCCGUAAGAAGUAUUUGUCCCCGGCCGCUGGACUGACGUAAACCACUCUUCCUAUUGCUGCACCGGUUUUCCUGGGGGCCCAUAGUUUCCCUGAGGUGUGAUAAACGAACCUGGUAGGCAGUUCAACGUACGUCAGCUCUCGUGCUUCUUCAUACGUUUCACAUGCCACAAACCAUGCAGUUAACAUUGUUUUCUCAACGUCUUCCUUCGAAAUAACAUCCUCUAAUCUAGCAGAUUCGUCAAAUACAGUAUGGUGCUCCCCUGGUAGAUGCACAGGCAGUUUAACAACAUUAGGUUGAUUGUGAUGUAUGUGAAACGCGAACAAUCUCCAUGAGGCUUCACAUGCAGAGAUGUAUCGACAUUCCAUAUACCUAUCUAUCUCAUUUAUCACAUCCUUUCCGUCUUUCUUUUUCUCCUUCUCACUGCCUCCCCUUUCCACCUCUUUCAAAAGAACAGUAGCUCGAUCAACACCUUUUGUAAUGUAUUUAAAAAGAUAUUUGAUCGCACUGGUUCUGCAGCACCAUUCAACAUUGAUAUGGGCCUCAUAUUUUUUAAGAAUGCUGAGGUUGUGAGGGACAACGUACUGAUUUCCCAGCUCAAUGUUGCUCUUCAAGACUAAAUGCUUAGGAUCUGAUCUCCUUCUGUAUUUGACAAAUCCAGACUUGUCAAUGUGUGUAUGAUCCGAUAAUGGCUUAGGGUAAGCCUUUGUGCAUUCUCCUUUGUCCAUGCAAGGUGAUUUAGGUCGACGUUUUCCACAUGGGCCAUGUAUCAUAUGACGGUCGACCAAUGCAAAACCCUCAGGAUCUAGAUCUCUGUCUGGCAACUCAGCUGAUAUGUACUCAUCAAUCAUUGCGGCGCUUGCUUCUUUCUUAAUGCCUUCUAACCAUAAUAGAAUAUGGGCAUGUGGCAGUCCUCGUUUUUGAAACUCAAUGGUGUAUACAACUACAUGGUUUUUGAAAAAUGAAUCAGUAACACAAUCUCAGUACGUAAAAAUAUAUAUAAAGUAAUCAGGUAACAGACCGCUAAAAGUGUUUACCUGCAGAAGUUUUAGGAAAGAAAACUCCUUUCUUGAAAUCUGAAACCAUCUCGUCCAGUUUGAGUUUGAACAGCCUACAUUCAAGGUCAGGCCGGCUAUUAGCAGAUUCGCCACCGUAUGCAUCCAGAUGAUCCUUUAACUCCACCCAGUUUGGAUUUGCUGUCACUGUGAUGAACAGAUGAGGAUUUCCGUACCACCUACAUAUAGCCAUUGCGUCUUGAUACUUUUCAGACAUGUACCUAGGUCCACCAGUGAAUGAAGAAGGUAGAAUGAUCUUCCUGCCAAGCAUUUUUGCAUCUGAAUCUCCGCUAUCCACAGCGUCACACACAUUACUAUACAAAUCUGCUCUGAGUUUCUUUUGGUUCAAUAGAAUAAACCUUAAUCUCUCUUGCUCUGUGGCAGUGUAUGCAUCUACAAUAUAUUGGUGCAGCAAUCUCCCGCCCUUUAUGAUCGUCAUACCCUCAGUAGGCCGAGUCUGAAACUGAUAAGCGUAAAACUCACGCAUUGUCAUGUAUUCUCUUCUUACUGUAGACGUUUCAGGGCCUUCAUAUGGCAUCCUCUGGUUAUAGCCAGCCUCUCCGUACGGAAACAACAAUGGAUAUUGGAGGCUCAUCAUCAGGGGGUGUUGAUCACUGAUUCUCUGCAAAUUAGACGAUUUGAGCUCCACCACAAUAUCUCUACCAACAGAAGUUGCAGAUAGAUCUCCAACUAUCAAUCCACCAAUCUCGCUCGCACUCGGAAGAUCGUAUUGACGCCCAAGGUUAGUUUGACUGACCAGAGUGAUACUAUAUUCAAUAGUACCAGUGUCUUUAAAUCUAUCACGGGCAUGGCGAAACGUCUUUGCGAGGUGGUUAUGUAUGUCCAUCAUCUCAAUCAAUUGAACAAUGACACUGUCAGGGAUAGCCAAAGAGGAGGUACCUUGAGUGAACGCUCGCUUUCUGUUUUCUAGCUCAUUAUCUGUGUCAAAAAUAUAUAACUGUAAAUAUUCUGGCAGAGCACCAUCUUCAGGAAGUAGAGACCCGAUCCUAUGAAUAACCUGUCCAUUGACCCGGUAUGUAAAUGGUCCUGAAGUACCAGUAACACUAUGAUCAACAUUAGCACCCAUUGAUGUGAAUGCUAGCAGACUGUUGGCAACUCGGAUCUGAGCUCGAAAUUUAUGACUUUCAAGAAGUUCUUUGAGGGGAGACGGUGCUUCUCGCACAGGUGGAAGUCUGACUCUUCCUUGUUGGCAACAAAUGCUGAACUGACCUUCACCACGAUUGAUAUCACCACCAACAGCUUCACCAGCCCAUAGCAAAGCGUGGCACGAUGGACAUGAUACUAUCUCGUAUCUGUCAUUAGUUUUUUUUUUCUUUUUCCCUGAUUACAACAUAUUAUGAGGCAGAGUGUUAGUUGUGUAGUGACCAUUUUACUCCAGUUCUGGAUUUUAUAAUUUAUACGAAUAGUUGAUGACAACGCUGACCCUUUCUAUCGUAUGCUUGUGUGAAUUGCAAUUCCCUUUUGCGUACACAAAGUGCCUUUCUAAGUAAUCUUGCUUUCCUAGCAGAAUCUGCAUUGUUGUUGUGAUCAUAAAAUAAUAUGUAUGGUCAAUUAGAAAAUUAUUUGUUCACCAUGAUUCAUGUGUACCUGAUGAUAUUCUGCUCGCCUGACUAAUGUUCUGAGGAGACUCAGAUACUCUGUAAAUUUCAGAUAGCCACGGGCGAUGAAGUGUGGUACCGGCUACGUCCGAGGAAGAGCAUUGAUCUGGAAACAAAUAAAUAUGUUGUUUAUUCCAGAUACUGUAUAUUAACAGUCCUGUUUUUUUUUUUUUUUUUUAAAGGUGUGUGUUGUACUUUGACGUUCAAUCGGCGGUCUUCCUCGCCUCCGUUUAUUGGGUUGUUCAGUGGAAGCUAAGAGGGGGAAAAACGUGAAGUUUGUGUUACUACAGUCGGAAUUAGAUCUCAGAUGAUAUGGGUGUAUGAAGAUAAUUCUUACAAAACAAAAUAAACGUCUAACCUCUCGUCGAUGUCUGACUUCUCUUAGAUGAUCGAAUGACAGCCCUCGUAUGUCGAGCUAAACGUGAACCGUUAUCUACAUGGAAAUAUCACAGUGAAGUUUUAUAUUAAUUCGAGACUUCUGAUGCAAAAGGCCGUGUGGUGACUUCAGUAUAUCAGAAAAAUCUUAACAGUUGAUAUUUAGGAAACUCGUUGACUGUUAUGGAUUUGUAGCUGAUUCAAACCUGUAAUCGAGGUAGAAGGAACGUUAGUUCCGUCUAAGGACUUCGUAGUUGAAUUCUUGACCAUAAUUUUAAAGCGAAGGAACCUUUCAAGAUGGUUUUUCUAUUUUGGUUUGUGAAUCAUAAGGUUUCAUGAGACGACUGGAUUAUCUAGCGUCUCUGAUGAUCUAGCGCCCCGCAAAUAGAGCCUUCCAUGAGGAGUUAAGUGGCAGUUACAAUGUCGAUGGUGAGCAUUUGAACAGUUGCACCAUGAAUUGUGUUUGUAGUGAUGUAUGUUUAAACUUUUUGUUAUUAACCCAAAACUUUAUUAUUAUCUAUUGUAUUUAAUGCUUUCCGUAUGAAUAUUUAUUUUUUAAAAGAUUUAUGUGUUUCUCGUCGCAAUGUUUAGCUUAUUAUUUUACACAUUACACAUGCUACUGCAUACCUAAGAACAAUAAAUCAAAUCAGUUGUUACCAAUUUUCUUUUAAAAAAUCCAGGCCCCAUUCAUAUGUUUCAUGGGAAUUAUAGCCGAACCGGUGAGAGGUUACUUAAAUUAAACCGUUGCUUCGUGCCAUUUUUUCCAAAUAUGUGUAUAUUUCGGUUCAGUGCUCAGCCAAUAAUAUAUUGACGUCGACAUUUCUGCAAAACAAUUCGACUGUAAUUUCAAAUGCUUAAUUGUUCACAAAAUUAAAUAAACAGUAAAUAUUAUACAGCAGUGUCUGGACUAUAUGAACAGCAACACGAAGAGAACAUCGCAAAAACUAUUAUCAUUAAUUAAUUAAUUUUACGAACAUGCUACCUACCAUGAAAGUAAUAAGAAGGUGACAAAUGUACUAAAUUCAAGUCUAAACGAAUAAGCAAAUAUAAAUACUAUAUUCUGGGUGGAAUAUAUGUAAAUUUGUUUGGUUUAUCUCUAAGGGAAUCUAAAAUAAACAAAAAUAAACAAAAAUAAUUUAUGCAAAAUAAUAUAUACUAAAUUAAAGUGCAACUGAAUCAGCAAAUAAAAAUUUUACGUUGUCGGUCGAUGCUAUGUAAAUGUGCUUUGUUUAUUUCCAAGGAAAUUCAAAGAAACACAAACAUUUUUUUGGAACUACAAUAACAUAAAGUAGAAGUAAAUAUGAAAUGCAUACUUGUUUAUAAAAAAACAACUCAAAUGUCAACAAUGAUAAAAACACCAAAAUAGAAAUUUCAAAUCCAUACUUGUUCAUAUAAAAAAAAAAAACGACUUUAUUAUUAUUGAGAAGAAAACUAUGCGUUUCCACUUAUGCCUUCCGUGCCUUCUUCGACUUAGCAGAUGCUUUUCCAGACUUGCUACAUCCACCACCGUCCAUCUUACGACUAACCAAACCAGCAUCCUUGUUGUCAUCUCCAUUGUCAUCGUCGCCACCCUAUCGUAUGAAAACGUUAAAUGUAGACAAAACAUGAGGGCUAGGUAAAAUAUAAGCGGCUUACAUCAUUAACGAAGUCAGGCUGUGGCUCACGGUCACCCUCGCCGAGGAUGCGUGAAAUGGUGAAGCUCUGAUGAUUUGCAGUGAAAUUGUAUGGGCCCACCUUCACCUGAAACGUGUAUGUCUUUCCCUCCAUGUCAAGAACAAACGGAGGGGUAUCAGUUUCUUCGGGGUUGACCCCAUCACCAGCCUGCAUGGACAAUGACACGAUUGAUUGAGUGGAUACUCAGCUCACAAAUAAAGCACAGAAUUGACGAACGUACCAAGAGGUUGGCAGCUUCAUGGGCCCUCAUGUUAUGGAGCUUCGCCAUAACUCCAUCAAAUGCAACAAACAAACCCUCACCAGUCUUGUCUGCAAUUGACAUCUCCACACGGUACCUAUCACAUAGGAUAAAUGUAUCAAAUAACACAGCAAGUUUAGCGUAAACUGAUAAGCUGCUCAGAUUCAGUACAGACCGAAGGACACCAACUGCAUUCGUGUUGUUGCAAAACAGACAUGUAAGAGAUGAGACAGACCGGUGGAGUUUCUUGAAACAUUUUGAACAGGAAACAUAGCACCACCCCUUGUCCACUUUGAUUUCGGUAACUUUUCCGGUGCAAAUGAAAUCAAUGUCCUGCAUCUCUAUAAAGUUAGAGUGCCGCCACCAUAAUUCACAUUCGAUAUGGAUCAUCACAAUGAUGCUAACAAACCUGGGACGCAGCAGAAAGGACAAAAUCAUUGAGCUCAGUUAUGCUCAGCUUCUCGACCUUCGCAUAACUCUUUAGCAGCGGAGCUACUGGCGGGACCCCAGUGUCUUGCUCAACCAACCUGUGAUGAAGACAACAAUGUUGUCAGGCACAACAAUAUACGAUCGAAAAUAUCCUAAUCCGGUCAUGUUUAAAAUUAGAUGUCUCGGAAAAUGAUACCUGUAAAACAAUCUCUCCCCUGCAUCUGUUUCCUUGUCGAAAUAGAUGUGUGUACCGGAUGUUGCGUUCAAAAACAGACGACCUGCAUCGUAAGUAGAAUAUGUAUGAGUUCGACAUCAUUACAGAGGCAGCCAUAUUUGUGCCAUAGUGGCUGCAUACCUCCCACUAUUUUCGGAUUCACACUGGUUGCAACGAAAACCCUUGGAUCCACUCUCAUCUGCUCGAGCUGGUUAUGAAUCUUGACAGCCUGAGCGUCAAAGAGGCUCAUAGUCACAGAUGUGUCACUGCAUCAUGAGAGGAAGAAUAGUAAGAAGAAUGUAGACAGGACGUCGAAAUCAAUUCUGAAUUUAACAAAGUUCAUAAAUACUUACUUGUCCAUCUUGAUGGUCGUCAUAACACGAUUCUUGUCCUGAGGGGGGUCAGUGACCGUACUCUUGACAGCAGUUAUCUCUCCAAUAAGAUCUGUGACAAAGAAUAUCAGAAACCCAAAUAUGUAGUCAGAGGAGAUGAUAAGAAGAGCAUUACCUGGAAGCUGGUUGUUGGAGUUAGCAAGACCAAGCAUCUCACUGUAGUUACGAAACCGGAAUGAUUCAAGAGGUAUCGGAACAGCCGGUUCAGUGAUCUUCUCGAAAGUGGUGGAGUCGCUAAACCGGAUUUGUAGAGAAGAGUCCGAGAGGCGGUAAUUCUGGUUACACCUUGUUACUUCAAAACCGGUCAGGGAGUAAACCGAACCCGCUUCAAGAUUAGUCUGGUGCACUGCGAGACGGUUAACGUUGACAGUAGCCGGCAUCAUGGUCGACUGAAAAUUAAACAAACACAAAUACAAUUAACAAAAAAAAAAAAAAAAAAAAACGGAUAGAUAAAACGAAAGUGCCACAGAAUUGAUUAAAUAUAUAAUUAUCUAUCAAUCUAUUAAUUCUGACGUGAGGAAAUCUAACAAAUGACAUAACCAUCUAACAAAUCUGAUUUAAACAAAGCUAACAAAUCUAAUAACAUUCUGGUUUAGCAAAUACGUACACAGAUUUGGACUGAUAAUCAGCAAGAACAAAAAAAUGAUCGUUGUGGAUCUAAUGUGGAUUCAAGACGGCGGUUGCAUGAACAACAUUCAAUCGGGUAAAAUAAAAAAACCGCGGAUGUAAAACAAAACCUUAGAGUCAAGCAAGAGCAUGUCGACGCCCAUGAGCUCGCCACCUCGGCGGACGUUUCUGGCCUCCCAGAAGCGGAGCAAGCGCACUUCAACGGUGGAAGAGGAGCGACCGGCCUGGAGAUCGGAGAGGAAAACCAAAACGUUAGCCAUAGCACUGUAUUUUUCUGAUUAGAUCUAGAACGAAAGAGAUGUAGUUUAUGAGCAGAACCAAGUACCUUCUUAUAGUCGUCUCAAAUGCCUUGCACAUCGCAUUGAAUCCAGAUCGUGGAUGAUAGAUUAAUUGGGGGGUGAUUAAAGAUGAUUGAUUGAUCGGUUUCAGAGAUCUAGCGACGAAGGAGACCGAAGGUCAGAUGCGCAAGUUGAAUCGCCUUGCGAGCUAUAGACGCGAGAAGGCCUCAGCAUAACUUAAUCCGAGAACGUUGCGUUUAGUGACAGUCUAACACACGUGAUGGGCUGAAUGUUUUAAAGCCCAACAAAACAAUUGAAAUAGAGUGAACGACUUAAACGGCGCGCUGCGUUUUACAGAUCGGACACGUGUCGCAACAUCCUCUCUCUAUUUGUUGCGCUGGCGCAAGGAGAAGGGAGUCCCUCUCUACUUUAUGUUAUUAGAUUCCUACGUCUUAAACUCAAACUAAUUUUAGAAUAACUGUUAGGGUGGUGCACCUCAUAAUAGGAGAUAGUUUCUCAAUAGAAACAUUUUAUUAAAUUUUCUAGAAACUAAAUUAACAAGGGUCUCUUGUGCAAUAGUUCAAUUUAUAUAAAAAAAAAAUAGUUAGAAGACUUUGCACAAAGAAAACACAUUCGCGAUCACACAGAAAUCGAUAUAUUAUAUAGGGUUUUCAAAAUAACGAAGACUUUUCUUCAUUAUAAUACUGUAUGGCUUGCCCGCGGGCCUGGCCCAUAGACCCAAUGCGGGGCGGGAUUGGAUACAGAUUUUACGGCCCGUUUGUUAGCGGGCCUCGCGGGUUAUGCCCGCAAUGGUAUUGAGCCGAAGCGGGAUGCGUGACAAUUGGGUGGCCCGCUUGAAUUUUCUCAUUUCGUCUCUUUGGUAACACCAACAAGAGCUUAGAGUAAACCAGAGAUGAUGAUGGCGAUUCUCAUUUCCUCCAACCGGUAACCUAAACUCAUUUACUUCAGUUGUGCCUCUUCCAGUUCGCUUUCAAUCAAUGAAUCAUAUUUUCUCUUCAAGCUUUGCAAUGUUGACCAGAACUCGUUCACUUUCUUUGUUACUCAUCGUAGGGAAAAAAGGAUUUUUUUUCUGAAGUGAGUGUGAGUGGAGACAAGAAAUUCUACACAAAACUUGUUUUUUAUUGUUGCUUUUCUAGAAACUUAAUCAUCGUUCUCGAAUGUGAGUUGUCUAAACUUUCCUUUUAUUUAUUGUCUUUGCUUGGUGGACCAUUAUAAAUGUCAACGGGUUGAAAACUUGAAAUGUGGUAGCGAUUUGGAUGUUUGAGAGAUGUAUAGUUAAUAUUAAGAUGGACAUCCAACUCGCUAGUGUGAUAGAAUAUAUGGAAUCUUAUAUGGAAUGCAGUUAUUCAAGUGUAGUUUAAGUGUCUUCUUAAUCUUUUGGAAGAGUUGAUAAAGUUCUAAUAGACUGUGAAUGUAAUGCUUCUACAUCGUUAUCUCGGAAGAUUUGAAAUGUUGAGCGUCUUUUACAGUGUAUGAUUGAGUCUAGCCUUAGGCAGUUAUAGUUUGCUAUGAGGGUCUUUCUUCUUUGUUUCUUUGACAUUAGCUACGUGAUAUAAAGCUUUUGUCUUGCUUUGGGACUUGAUGUUAGCAGAAGCUUUUACUAUUAGUUACAAAAGCUUGUGGUUCCUAUUGAAUUUACUUAGUGAUGCCAAAACUAAUCUUUUUUUUUAACUUGUAUAUAUAUAUAUCAACAGGAUUGUAGUAGGACAAGUUACUGUUUCUGGAGAACACCAAUGGAUACAAUGUCUUAUGCUACAAACGAAAGUCGAGACAAUAUUUGCAACUUAAUGGAUUUGAUCAACCUGAUAACUUAUUGCUGUCUCGUUCUUCUUCCAGGUUCACAGGAUUGGUCAAGCUUUGAAGAUAUGGGCCCGUGGGCCGACCCGCAUACCCGUUGCUAUAGUGCGGGUCGGGAUUGGUCAUAGGGUUCAUGGUCCGCAUCCCGCAGCGGUACGACCCGCAAAGACCCAACUGAAAAUAGUACCACAGCGGGAUGGGACAAAUGGGUUGCGGGUAAGCCCAAUUGCCAUCUCUAAUAAUACACAUUGACUUGUUUGAGUGGUAAGUCGAUCUCCCUUGGUAUACUUAGUUUAAAAAAUAUAUAUAACUAAGAUCUUCACCACAAAAAAUAAUAAUACAAAAAUAACUAAAACCAUACAUUUUACUCAAUUAAAAAAACUUUAUUAAAUUCUCAAAAACUCAGUUAAACACAUAUCCCUUGUGUUAUAAAGUUAAACUAAAAUAAUUAAAAUAUUAUUGUUAGCAAAUUUAUAUCUCUCAUAAUCAUUUAUGGGCUCUAAUAAAGAAGUUGACAUACAUUUUGUAACAAUAUAAAACCGACUGUUAACUCAACUAUAAAAAAUUAUUAAAUUCUCAAGAAACUCCAUUAACAUAUGUCUCUUGUGUUACAAAAAAUAAAAUAAGAUAAUUAAAAUAUUAUUGUUAGCAAAUUUAUAUAUCUCCCAAUCAUUUAUGGGAUCUAAUAAAGAACUAGACAGAAUUUUUUUGUAAUUAUAAGACUAUGACGGCCCGUAAAUAAAAGGCCCAAGCCCAGCAGGUAAAGAGUGAUCUUCGAAACUAGGGUUUUGUCUGAAGCUUCAUUGCCUCGAGUUUAUCAGUCGCUCUCUUUACCUCUUUGCAUCCUUUUCUGCAUCUUUUCUUCAGCGGAGAACAGCAACCAGUAGCCAUGGCUGAACAGGUUCGAUCUCUUCGUUAUAUAUCUCUUUAUUAAUACAUUUCUUAAGAAUAUUCUAAUUCUCUUCUCUCAUUUGCAGACUGAGAAAGCUUUCCUCAAGCAACCCAAAGUCUUCCUAAGGUAAAAAGAAAAAAGAAUGAAUCUUUAUCGUUGUGCUUUAAGAGCUUGUCCUUAAGAUGAUUAUUAUGUGACUAUUUCAGCUCGAAGAAAUCUGGGAAAGGAAAGAGACCUGGUAAAGGUGGAAACCGUUUCUGGAAGAACAUUGGUUUGGGUUUCAAGACUCCUCGUGACGCCAUUGAUGGUAGCUUCUAAGUUCUAAUUAUCCUUAAAGGAGAAAACUUUAGCAUUCUUUCUCAGACAUGUGUUGUCUGUGGAACAGGAACUUACAUUGACAGGAAAUGCCCAUUCACUGGAACUGUUUCAGUAAGAGGACGUAUCUUAGCUGGUACUUGCCACAGUGCCAAGAUGCAGAGAACCAUCAUCGUUCGCAGGAACUAUCUCCAUUUCGUCAAGAAGUAUCAAAGGUACUAACUAACCUCUCUUCUUUAUGUUUAGUAUUAAUGUUUUAAUAAUCUUAUUUUGAUCAGAUAUGAGAAGAGACAUUCCAACAUCCCUGCCCAUGUCUCACCUUGCUUCCGUGUCAAGGAAGGUGAUCAUGUCAUCAUUGGCCAAUGCAGGCCGUUGUCAAAGACGGUGAGGUUCAAUGUGCUGAAGGUGAUCCCAGCAGGUGCAUCUGCAUUUGCAAAGAAGGCAUUCACUGGAAUGUAAGAGUUUUUUUGAAGCUAUGGAGGGUUUUCUUUGUUUGGUUUUGAUUUUUGGAAUGUGUUGUUUGGUGUACUGGUUCUAAAUGUUUUGUCUUUGGUUUGGUACUUAUCUCUAUAAGAGUCCAUUGCUUAGCUUAAUCUUAAACAAGGACAGAUAUUCAAUGAUUUAUCCUAAUUGUUUAUGAGUUUUGUAUCUAAGUGAUACAUGUUGAUCAAAUGAAAAACAAGUUGGAGGAUUUAAAGAACAUAGAACAUCAUAACACAAUCAUAUGAGUCAUAUCCGUAAGAGAGACAUUCCAAAUGUCAGAAAAAAAACUAAGUUCGAAUGUAAUAGUUUUUGGUUUAGAAUAAAUAGUAUGGUGGCAAAUAAGUACGAACUAGUUCACUAGCGCAACCAUGAUGAACCCAAGCACCGACUAAUCGACCCAACAAAUAAUAUGUGGGCCAGAAUAAUUAUAGGCACAAAGCUGAUGGGUGUUGAGAUCUUUAGACAAAAAGUAAAAAGAGAGGUCCUACCGGGAGUCGAACCCAGGUCGCUGGAUUCAAAGUCCAGAGUGCUAACCACUACACCAUAGAACCAGAUGUUGUGCUGUUUAAAAGAUUACGUUCUAUAUUCAAAAUAAUAAGCUUUUUUUAAUUGUGAAACUCAUUGCAUCUUCUUAUAUAUACAUCUAUCUAUAAUAUUAAAAGAGAAACAUUCUGAAAAAUCUACUUACAAAAGUUUGUUGCACCAUUUUAUUAGACUUAACUAUUUUUUUGGUCUUACUUUAUAUUUUUCUAACUAUACAACAUUGUUAUUAAUCUAUACUAUUCAAAAUUUCACUUAAGAUUUUGUCUUUGAUUUGCUUUGCCACUUUUAUUUUUAUGCCUAACAACAUUUAUUAUCUUCAACUGUUUUACUAUAAAUUUGUCAAGUCAUAAAUAUUUUAACAAUAUUUUCAAAUCUCUGAACAUAUCAACAAUUUUAAUAUGAUUAAUUAAUUUUUGAUAGACUUUCUUUAACCCUUUUUUACAUCACGUAUAUAUUCUUACUUGUUGAAUGUCGUGGAAUGGUCAACACUUCAAAUUUAUCUUAUAUUCUAUCAGUUAAAAAUAAUAAUUACUAGACGUUAACUCGUGCACAUGCACAGAGUGAGUUUUUCAGGAUGCACCGAAGCUAUGAAUUAAGGAACAACUUUACACCAAUUCUAAAUUAUUUCAAUUUUGUCUAUUCUAUCUAAAAUAGUUUUAUAUAUAUCAAGUUACAAAAAUAUAUAUUUAGAUAUUGAUUUCCUUAGAUAAAAACUUUAAUUAUUUACAUUUUAUCAGUUUGCAUAUUUUCCAUAUUAUAAGUUACAAUGAAAUAUGGAAGAUAUAAUGAAAUGUGCAAACUGAUAUAAUGUAAAUAAUCAAAGUUUCUACGACAAAAUAUGGAAGAUAAGAGGUUGCGGAAAUGGAGCAAGAGGGAGUGUGGCAUUGACAAAUGAUAACAAAAUAAUUUUUGUGAGAGAUACACGAGCUUUUUUUACAGUAAAUAUAGAAAUGUUACACAAUAUAUAUGGGAUUAAAUUUAUAAAUCAAAGUGAUAUAUUCGAACUACAAAACUUCAAAAAGAAGUAUACAUACAAGUUAAUAGUGAUAUUCUUUUAUUUUGAAAGGUUUAGGUUUAUAUCCAAAUUAGACUAAAUAUGAGAGUUGAUACCAAAUACAAAAUAAUAAACAUGUUCUUGAUAUUAUGAAAGCACAUAUUUACUCUUUGUUUAAGCUUUAGUUUUAUCCAUUUUAAAUAUUUAUGUUCAAAAUUUUAAUACUAAAUUAAAUAUAUUAUUCUUUUGUUUAAAUUAUUAAUUCAUAUCAGUCGAAAUAUGAUACUAAAAUAACAGUUAGAAAUAUGAAGAUUCCUGCGGCGUAGCGCGGGUUAUUAUCUAGUUUACCUAAUAUACACAAAAUAUUCCAAGUACUUUGAGUAUCCGAUCAGGUCUUGGGUAGGAUGGACCCAAACCAAGACCUGCUAGUCAAAAAAAUAUCCAAUAGGUACUUUGCCUUGGACCGAGACCCAAACCAAAUAUAUAUUUUCAAGUCGGUUUUAGUUAUACAAAAUCUCAAAUAAAUUAACUCAUAAAUUAUAUAAUUGUUAAAAAAAAAUUGUUGCUUCGAAAUAAUACAGACUUUGUAACAUAAUAAUGUACAAUCUCGAAAUUCUAAAUUAUAUCAAUUUUAUUUAUAAUCCAAGAGAAUUCGCGCUUUUGAAGUGCGGUCAAAAUCAAAUUUUUAUUAAUUAAGAAACAUAAUAUAUCAUACUAUAUAUGUAGUAAAAUGCAUUGGGUACUUGGAAUCCUAUGGAUGAAGACAACAAAUUUAAGUAUAAUUUAGAUUUUGCCUCGUGAUGACGUCAAAGAUUCGGACUUGUAUGCAAUUGUUGCUGUCAGUGAACAUACUAUAGAAACUCUAUAAAUUAAUAUUUGAUAAAUUAAUUAACAAGCUAAAUUAAUACAUUUAUUUGGUUCCAAGUUCGGCCGGUUCAAAAUAAUUUUUAGAAAAUUGUAUGUAAAUAUAUAGUCCCACUACAAUUUAUAUAAAUAUAAUUUAUAUAAGUACAAAUAAAAUAUUGUAUUAUGUGUUUUAUAUAUUCACAAAAAAUAUUCACAAUGAAGUUUAUCUGUAUUUUUUCUUAACACUUCAAUAUAUUUUGAUAAUAUUUAAUGAAUGUAUAUGUAAAACUAUAUUUAAAUUCUAUGAAACAUAUUUUGUAUACACCAAAUAAUAUAACAAGCAUAUAUAAAAGUUGAAUUUAUAAAAUUUAAUGAAUAUAUAUACAAAUAAACUAUUUUCUUGUUUUAUAGAAAAGUCAUAUUCUAAAAUACAGAAAUCUAAAAAAAUGAAACUUUUUAUAAAUUAAUAACUCUAUAAAUGAAUAAAUUUCAUAUUCCCGAUAUUAUUAAUUUAUAGAGUUUUUACUGCAAUAAGAUUUAAAGGCUCUAAGCCUUUUUUCUUCAUUACUUUUUUAUAAAUGAAAAUAUAGAUUUGUUUCCAGUAUUGUUUACCAGCUGUGAUAUGAUACAAUGUAUUACCAUUAUGUACCAUAUAUGAUUAGGACUACAAAAUAUUAUGGUUAGGACUAGAAAAUAAAAAAAAUUAGGAAAAAGCAAAAAAAAAAGUAUGUGUUUGUCUAUAAAAGUUAUAGCUACCUAAGUAUAGGUAUUUAUCAUUAACAUUGCUUUCUUUCAAAUGAUAUAUAUAUGUUAUGAUUCUUCUCCAUGUAGGUUCAGUAGCUCUUGAAAUAUCUCAGUUUUGAGGUUUUAUCAAUGCUAGUUUUGGAGGUUAUAGUGUCAUUCUCAAGUGUUGGUCUAACAUUUUCUUGAAGGUUGUAAUAGAUUUACUUAGAGAAUGAUCAUAUCAGAGAAAACUGGUGGUGGGUUAUCAUGGAGUAGGGAUGAUAAUAUUGCUUUUGAGAGAGCUCUUGUGGUUUAUACCGACAAGACAGAUAAUCGUUGGGAAAAGAUUGCUGACUCUGUUCCAGAGAAAACUCUAGCACAAGUUAUAGAACAUUACAAUAGUUUACUUCAUGAUAUUACGAUGAUUGAAUCUGGAAUUGUACCUCUUCCUGAUUAUAAUGAUGUCCCGAUAGAAACAAAUGUUCGAGAAAGAAGCAUUGGGGAACGUAGUAUCAAUCGCAAAUGUGAGUAUAAGCAAGAAGAUGAACCAAAACCAAAGCGACGUAAGGCGGUUCCUUGGACACCGCUUGAACACAGGUUAGUUACUAGUACGAUUACUUCUACAUCACGAUUUUAUACAAUAAUUUUAGGUGUAUAAAAAAAAUUAUCAUAAAUUAUAUGAAAAAUAAGAGCUGUUUUUUUUUAUUUGAGUGUAAAAUAUUAUGAAUUUUCUUACACUGAGACACCGACACUUUGCAUAAUAUAUAGCUAGGCCCUGUUUGCGGGGUAAACAACAUAAGCAGCUGCUUAGGAUCCAUGGAAUGUGUUUAAAAAUUUACACUACAAAUUUUCAUUAUUUUUAUAUUUUCUAUAUUGGCUUAGGGCCUUAAGCAAAUUUUAAAAUAUAUGGACCGGCGCUGGAUAUAGCUUAGGUUUUUAUAUAGUUAUGAUUUUAUAGUUGAUAUUUUUAUAAAAUGUUGAAUAUUAUGGUUUUUGUUUUUUUGGAACAGUCAAUUUCUUCUUGGUCUAAAAAAAUAUGGGAAAGGUGAUUGGCGUAGCAUUUCACGUCACGUAGUAUUGACAAGAACACCAACUCAAGUUGCAAGUCACGCACAAAAAUACUUCGCACGUCAUAGAGCUACGAACAGAAGCAGACAGAGACAUAACAUUCACGACGUCAACGUUUCGGAAAGCAGUAACAUCUCAGCAAUGAAAGCACCAAUCACAUGCCAAGACGCUAAAGCCGCUUCGCAACCAUCGGUAGACCAUCAAGCAUAUGAGACACCAGCCAUAUGGAACACAGAAGCCACUUCACCAACAUCACUAGACCAUCAUGUAUUUGGGACACCUACCAUAUGGAACAUGCAAGCCGCUUCGCAUCCAUCAGUGAAUGUUCCUGUCUAUGGCGCACCCACUAUCGGCCAAUCAAUGGUUGGACCAUAUGUCUUACCUUAUGGAACUGACAUGAAUCUCUUUGCGCCACCUUACAUGGCUUACAGGGCUCAACACCAUUCGACACCUUACUCCCCAGUUCCUAGUGCACCGUUCAACACAUGGACAGUUCCAGACAACAUGACAAAUAUACCUACUUCUCGUUAGGUGAGGUUGUAUUUUAUGUUUGUUUCAGAGCGUGUGAUAUGUAUAAAAAAACUUAACAUUCAAUUUGGCUUGUCGCUAACGUCAAAUUGCUUUGUUUUAUGUUUUAUGUUUUAAAUUUUUAAUUGUUUUUUUUUCUAUGAAAAAUGUGUCAUUUGGGGAUUAUAUAUAUAUAUAUAUAUACUAUUAUUUGUGAAGUGGUUUUUACGUUAAAAGUUAGACUGAUUAAUAUCGUUUAUACCCUUAAUAUAUAAUUAAUUCCAUUUAUUAUAUUAUCAAUUAUUUAUCUUUUUAUUUUUAUUAAUUUUGGAUAAUAAAAUAAUAAAUAAUUUUUUUUGAUAACGCUAAUAUAGAUUUCAAUUUCUUUUUAUUCAAGUAAUAUUCAUAAACAAAUUAUCUUUCAUAUUUUUGGAUGAUUAUUAUUAUAUAAAAACGAAAUAUAUACAAUAUUAUAUACAUGUAUUUUUCAUCCGAUCUUGUUAAAUUGAAAAAUAUAUAUUAUAUAUUUGUGUACAUAUAAUACUAAAAUUAACAUCACUAUGUUUAAUGUUCUACUGUCCAAAACAGUAUAAUAAAAUGUCACAUAAUUCUUUUUAAAAUUGUCAAACUUAAACAAACCGAACACAUCAUAAUUUUUCUUUCGAUGUGUUCUAUAAGUGUUGGUUCACAUCUAUACUAUUAUUUGCUUUGAUUAAAGAAUCUUGACUCAUUAUAUGGAUAAAGCUCAAGCAAUGUGUAAACAAUGUUAAAAAUUUAGAUAAAAUUAUGAGUGAUAUAUUCAGUUGUGUUAAAUCUUUAGUUGUAAAGUUAUGUCUUUUAUUAAAAAUUUAAUAAAUUUAAUAUGUCAUAAUUGAAGUAAUAUAGUUGAAUUGUAAUGGGCUUUGAAUUGAUAAUAUAUAAUAAUAAAUAUUUAUAAGAUGACUUUGUCCAUAUAUCUGGGUAAAAUAUCUAGUUAUAUUAUAUUUCAAUUGUUUACAAACCCUUUCUUAUGCAGUGUUACAUUUUUGCGUAUUUUAUUUAAUUUGAAAAUUAAAUUUGUUUGUAAAAAUAAAUAAUUUUAAAAUAUAGCUAACAUAUGUGUUAAUUAAUAUUGCACAUUUACAGGGUUUUCUCAGAACUUAAAAAUGGUUAUACAUAUAUGUAUUUUAGUUUACCUUGAAAUUUAUAUGAAACUUCUUUUUUUUUUGCGAAAUUUAAUGAUUGUAAAAGCCAACGUCAGUUUUAAAUAUUUUAAAGUUUUUUUUUCUGGAAUACUAUAUAUGUUUAGUAUGAAAACUACUCCAAAUUUUGAAUCAAAAUUUUACGUGAAGAAAAACUUCAAAAUAAAUUUAAUUAGAAAAACAACUCAUAAACUAAAACUAAAAUUUCAGAAAUAGAAGGGUUAAAAUGAAAUUAACUGGAAAUAAGAGGGUCUGCAUAAGUAAAUGAAAGAAAAAAAACGAUCCAGUGUGAAUCGAACAUCUCUUUGGGGGAGGAACCUCAGACGUGAGGCGUGAAGGUGAAGGAGACGAACGAGAUUGCGAUUCCUUUCCGUUACGCCGUAACUGUAAACCCUAGCUUAGAUCCUCCCCGAUUCAAGCUCAAUCCUAGCUUACAGGUUCGUCUCUCUCUCCCUUCUCCUUAGAUCUACUCCAGAAUCAACCUUCUCGAUUGGUUUCGGAUGCUUUGAACGGUUGACACUAGGCAGAUUCUUGUAGAUUUCUCGAUUCCAAUUGCGAUUCGUGUUGAAUUCGAUUACUAGUCUGAUUCUGUAACGUUUGUGCAGAAGUUUAGAUCACUGACGGCGACCUAGGGUUUUCGUUUCGAGAUGUCGAGCUUUCGCGUGGGAGGGAAGGUAGUGGAGAAGGUUGACUUGUGCAGGAAGAAACGCUCGGCGUGGCGUUUGGAUGUUUGGCCGUUUGCGAUUCUGUACGCCACGUGGUUGACUACGAUCGUGCCUAGCUUAGACUUCACUGAUGCUUUGAUCGUGUUUGGUGGCCUUCUUGCUUCCCACAUCUUGGUUUUGCUUUUCACUAUGUGGUCUGUGGAUUUCAAGUGUUUUGUCCAGUUUAGCAAGGUAAACCUCAUCACUCUUGUGGAUGCUUGUAGAUUUUUUCUUGAGUGAAAGGUUUAUGAUGGCCUUGUGUUGUGCCUGUGUGUUGAUUCGCAGGUUAACAGUAUCAGCCAGGCGGAUGCGUGUAAAGUCACACCAGCCAAGUUUUCUGGGUCUAAAGAAGUUGUGCCUCUUCAUUUUCGUAGCCAAGUAAGCUCAUUUGAGGUUUUAGAUUCAGUUGUUAAGCUGCCACUAAGAUAGGCUCCGUGAAUGGUUUGGCUUUUAAACUGGUUUUAGACUGCUUUUAUGACUUAAUUUAUGUAAAGUUCAGUGUCAACACACUAUGUCUCUGCGGAAAAUAAUGAAUUUAUACCACAUACUAUUUGAAUCCUCUUUAGCCUGGAAAUGCUUUGAGUUUUUCCAGUACUCUUACUUAUCAUGUUCUAACAGUUAAGUCUUUUGACGUUUGCAGAUGACUGGUUCGUCAUCCUCUGGAGACACGGAAGAAAUAUUCUUUGACUUCAGAAAGCAGCGUUUUAUGUACUCGAAAGAGCUGGGAGCCUUUUCCAAGCUUCCUUACCCCACAAAGGAAACAUUUGGUCAUUAUCUCAAAUGUACUGGUCAUGGUACGGAAGCUAAGGUCGCAACAGCCACUGAGAAGUGGGGAAGGAACGUGUAAGUCGACUUAUCACUUUCUAUACAUGUAUAUAUCAUAUUCACAAGAUCAUAUUAUGGUCGAUAAUUGAAGCUUUUUAUUAGCAAUUCCUUUUUGCGUGUCUCGUAAUUUCUGCUAUCAGUUUUUCUUUUUAUGUGUCUGACUAACUUUUCUUUCUAAUCAUUUCUCGUUCUGAAUGUAUAUCCAGAGCGUGGUUGUUCUUUUAUCUGGUUUGAUACUUUUUUCUGCUUCUCGCAGAUUUGAUUAUCCGCAACCUACAUUCCAGAAGCUAUUGAAAGAAAACUGCACGGAACCAUUUUUCGUAUUUCAGGUGUUGUUUUCUUGAUAAUGCAUGUAUCUUACAGUUCUUUUUCUUCUUCCACGGCUCUGUUGCUCUAAGUACUGCGUUUCUUCCUCUUUAUUCAGGUUUUCUGUGUGGGUCUUUGGUGCUUGGAUGAAUUCUGGUAUUACAGUGUGUUCACACUAUUCAUGCUUCUCAUGUUCGAGUCAACAAUGGCAAAAAGUCGCUUGAAGACAUUAACCGACCUAAGACGUGUUAGGGUGGACAGUCAGACUGUGAUGGUUUAUCGAUGCGGGAGGUUUGUGAUUUAAUAACACGCAGUUUUCCUUAAAGAUCGCUUCGGUAUUACUGCUGUGUCUGAAAAUGUCAAAUUUUAGGUGGGCGAAGCUCUUAGGCACUGAUCUACUGCCAGGAGAUGUUGUAUCUAUUGGGAGGCCGUCUACCCACACUGGAGGGGAGGAUAAGACAGUACCAGCCGACAUGCUUUUACUUGUAGGAAGUGCUAUCGUAAAUGAAGCCAUUUUGACAGGCGAGUCAACUCCCCAGUGGAAGGUACUUUCGUUCCUCAACGUCAUUUUUGUUUGUUGGCUUCUUUUCCAAAUUAUUGCUCUCUGGAUUUUGGAUUUGAAGAGUUCAGAAUUGUAACAGUGCACAAAUGAUAAAUUUGGUCCAUCUUAUUUGCUAUUUCUCAUAAGCAGCUUCUCUUACAAUACGUGUGAUAGUUUCUAGCACCUUGUUUGAAACUUUGAUCGUAAUUAUUAACUAGCGAGCAAUACUUACUUCACAAUAGGUAUCCUUGUAUAAUAUGGUCCAUAUGUUUUGCUGAGAUUGUAUGAUGGAUAUUAUAGGUUGCAAUUGCUGGCGAGGGAUCUGAUAAGAAGUUAUCGAUCAAGAGGGAUAAAAAUCAUGUUUUAUUUGGCGGGACCAAGAUCUUACAACAUUCACCUGACAAGGUAAUUCCGUAUCAACAAUUUCAACAAUUUAUUCUUCAGUGCUUGCUCCUAACUUGUGUUUCAUACUAUUUGAUAUUUGGGGUCAGACAUUCCCUCUGAAAACCCCUGAUGGUGGCUGUCUAGCUGUUGUUCUCCGAACUGGAUUUGAGACAAGCCAAGGAAAGCUAAUGCGGACAAUUUUAUUUUCUACAGAGAGGGUAUGGGAUCUUUCCGAUGUUUUUUGUUGUUUCAUUUGCACCAUGUUAAGAAUUUUAUUUGUUCUGAUCCUUUUGGUAAAAACACUCAGGUUACUGCAAACAGCUGGGAGAGUGGUCUGUUCAUAUUAUUUCUAGUUGUGUUUGCCGUGAUAGCUGCGGGCUAUGUUCUUGUAAAGGUACGGCAAUAUUUGUUUCAGGUUCUUAUUCAAAUAAUAUGUCUAUGUAUACUAGUUAUGAGGAAUCUACUUUGCAGGGUCUCGAGGAUCCUACAAGGAGCAAAUAUAAGCUCUUGCUAGGCUGUUCAAUUAUCAUCACCUCAGUGAUCCCGCCAGAAUUGCCUAUGGAAUUAUCCAUUGCUGUCAACACGUCAUUACUUGCUCUUGCACGUCGUGGGAUCUUUUGCACAGAGCCUUUUAGGAUUCCUUUUGCCGGGAAGGUAGUAUCUGUUAUACCUUAUUUUGCUAUUCGAUUAAGAACUCUUUAUCUUGAGCGAGCGACACCCUGCAAGGAAUUAGUUGUCUUAUUAGUGUUACCCUUUUUCUUUAAUGACAGGUCGAUUUGUGCUGUUUUGAUAAGACUGGUACACUCACGUCAGAUGACAUGGUAAGUUUAAGUGAAGCUCUUGGUAUAUGCUUGCUUGAUUUUGUUUAUGGUAAACUCAUUUUUAUUUGCUGCUACAUAGGAAUUUCGUGGAGUUGGGGGCUUGGCUGAUGGUGAAGAAGCAGAGACUGAUAUGAGCAAGGUUCCCGUACGCACAUUAGAGAUUUUGGCGUCGUGUCAUGCUUUAGUCUUUGUAGACAACAAGCUGGUAUGAGCAACUCAAUUUCUUUUCUGUUUUUGGUUUAGAGCAACUCAAUUUACUGUUAUAAGUUUUGAUGUUGUUCCUGUUUUGAGCUGUGCAAAUUUUCAUUUUUGUGCAAGUCUUUGAUUUUCCGUCUAUAGACUCUGUUGAUACACGCACAUAUGUUUUUAUUAAAUCUGACAAUGGAUUCCAUGUUACACUUAAUAAGUUUUAAAUUAAAGUGUAUAUAGUACACAUGUGAUGCAUGAUAAUUUUACUUAUGCUUUGCUUUUGCAUCAUUAGUCAUCAUUACGAAAUUCUGUCAUGCUUUACUCUGUUUUUCAAUACUUACACUUUUUCAAUACUUACAGGUUGGUGAUCCUCUUGAGAAGGCUGCACUUAAAGGAAUUGACUGGAGUUACAAAUCUGAUGAAAAGGCGUUGCCGAAAAGGUAACUAUUGUCACUUUUAUUAAUCUCGUAUUCUUUUGUUCUCAUACUUUGUGUACGGUGCCUAUUUAGCCCUGUGAUUACCGUGCAUAGAUUUUGAGAUGAAAGGCUAAUAUAAGGAUACGUACUGCUACUGCAUUAGAUAUAAUGGUUUCUUCUUUGUUUAUGGUUUUAUGAAAAAAUGAAAAAAUGAUGUCUACCUGUGAAGCAGUUGACUAAGGGAAUACGGGAACUAAAGCUCACAUAGAAAAUGUUAACUGAUAGUAUUACAUUACCUGAGAUACUGCGAUAGGCUCUGCUUCAAUGUUUUUUCACAUUCUGCGUCUCGGCAUCAUGAGUACCUAUCAUUUUCUUUGAAGCUAAUACAUAUAUAUACACCUUAAUGGUUUCGCCGUGUGCACACAUACGAAGAAGAUUGAUUCUAAUUGUCCUAUUUUAUCCGCUGCAGAGGAAAUGGCACCUCGGUGCAGAUAAUGCAGAGAUACCAUUUUGCUUCGCAUCUGAAGAGAAUGUCAGUUAUCGUUUGUAUUCAGCAGGAAUAUUUUGUGUUUGUGAAGGUCUGCUUGAUACAUUAUUUUCGUUGGCUAAAUUUUAUCAGUAAAUCCAGAUCUAAAUGCUUAUAUUUCACUUAUCAGGGUGCCCCAGAGACCAUCCAAGAUAGACUUGUGGAUGUGCCAGCAGCAUAUAUCGAAACAUAUAAGAGAUACACACGCCAAGGAUCUCGAGUUCUGGCCCUUGCAUUUAAACGACUUCCUGAUAUGACGGUAGUUACGCAUGCUCUGACUCAUGAACCUGUUGGCUUCUUGAAAAAACUUGACGCAUGUCAUUUUAGCUAGAUAGUUGUGUCACUGAUACGCUUUACACUUGCAGACGUAGAGAAUAGAAUUCACUGCUCAUCUAUUUGACGUUGUUUGUGAAUCUCUAAAUUUAUGUCAGAAGUCUUGCGUUCUUUGGUCUUAUGGUGAAAUAGUUAGUUAUCUGUUUGUUCUUAUGUACUUAAUAAUAUUAACAUCCAUCACUUUUUUGUUAUGGAUUAUGCAAGCUUCUGCUGAUUAGCUUUAAGAUUUACUUAACGAGUAUUUUAAUGUUGACCAGGCCAGUGAAGUUAGAGACAUGGACCGAGAUGCUGUUGAGAAUGACCUUACUUUUGCUGGGUUUGCGGUAAUGGCAUAGAAUGCAUUUUGCUCUUAUGAAGCUUUACUUUCUUCGUUUUUGUAAAUUGUAAACGAUGGUCUGGUAUCGAAAUUGUUUCCUAAUGGUUUAUAAUGCAUCACAGGUCUUCAAUUGCCCCAUUAGAUCAGAUUCAGCUACCGUUCUUUUAGAGUUGAAGAAUUCAUCCCAUGACUUGGUAAUUUACUGUGUUCUUAUAAUGCAAACAGACUCGGGAAUUAGGGGGCCUCUUUUUUUCCACUCAGUACAAAUUGCCUGCAAAGCAGCUAUCUCAGACUUGAGUAUAGCUUGUUUUUUUAAUUCCAUUUUUCAGUCGCCGUGUUUUUUUUCUUGCAAAGGUGCUCGUUCUUUCUUUAAUAAUUAGAUACACGGGAUGUCUUAUCCUACUUCCAUGAUUUUAGGUGAUGAUUACAGGUGAUCAGGCAUUGACAGCUUGUCAUGUUGCAAGCAAAGUGCAUAUUGUAUCAAACCCAGUCUUAAUUCUUAGCCAAUCAAGGCCUGGAGCUGAAUAUAAGUGGAUGUCACCUGAUGAGAAGGAGAUCAUACCCUACAGGUGUAGUAUUAAUCACAUUUACUGUAUAACUAAUGCAACUUCGUAUCCUCAUCUUGUACAAGCUUAGGUAUUCACAUGAUACCAACAGUAUAUGUUGUGACACAAGUCUCCAUGGUCUUUUCUUUUUCUUCUUGCUUCUGACUGAGAUAGGAUGACAUGGUUUUUGUUUACAGUGACAAAGAGAUCGAAACCCUUGCUGAAACGCAUGAUUUAUGCAUUGGAGGAGACAGCAUUGAAAUGCUACAGGCUACAUCGGCUACUGUGAGAGUCAUUCCAUUUGUUAAAGUAAGCAUAUCUUGUAAUCUCUUUAUCACUUGAUUUAUUAUUUCUAAAUAAUAGAGCCCGACUCUUUAACCAUUUCUCCUUUCAGGUUUUUGCGAGAGUUGCUCCACAGCAGAAGGAGCUAAUCUUAACCACCUUUAAAGCGGUAGGAAGGGGAACUCUGAUGUGUGGGGACGGGACAAAUGAUGUUGGAGCAUUGAAGCAGGUAACGCAUAUAGAAAUUCAUUUGGAAGAUUGAGGUUUAGCUUUUUAGAUGUCAGGCGAAUGAUACAUAUGCUUUAUUCUCUUUCUUUCUUUUGAUUGUAUUUUUGUUGUUCACAAUUCCAGGCCCAUGUUGGAGUUGCCUUACUGAAUACUGUCACUCCCUCGGAAUCGUCUAAAGAUGAUCCUAAGUCGAAGUCAAAAAAGCCAAAACAACCAUCAGAACCAGCUAGCAAAACCGCAAUUCAGAAUGGAGAAGGAUCGUCAAAGGCGAAGGCCCCACCCCAAAACCGCCACUUAACUGCUGCGGAAUUGCAGAGACAAAAGUUAAAGAAGAUGAUGGAUGAACUAAACAGUGACGAAGGUGAUGGCCGGUCAGCACCCGUGGUAAAACUCGGGGAUGCAUCAAUGGCAUCUCCCUUCACAGCAAAACACGCGUCGGUUGCUCCAGUGACGGACAUAAUCCGACAGGGUCGCAGUACACUAGUGACGACUCUUCAGAUGUUCAAAAUUCUCGGUCUCAACUGUCUCGCCACAGCUUAUGUACUAAGUGUUAUGUACUUGGAUGGUGUGAAGCUCGGUGAUGUCCAGGCAACAAUCAGCGGCGUAUUAACAGCUGCGUUUUUCCUCUUCAUAUCCCACGCUCGACCGCUUCAAACCCUCUCUGCAGAGCGACCCCACCCGAGUGUCUUCUCCGUGUACCUCUUCCUCUCUCUCCUUGGACAGUUCGCUGUCCACAUAACCUUCUUGAUCUACUCCGUGAAGGAAGCUGAGAAACACAUGCCCGAGGAAUGCAUCGAACCAGACGCCACGUUCCAUCCUAACCUGGUGAACACGGUGUCGUACAUGGUGAGCAUGAUGCUUCAGGUGGCGACUUUCGCUGUGAACUACAUGGGACACCCCUUUAACCAGAGUAUCAGAGAAAACAAACCUUUCUUCUACGCGCUCAUCGCUGGAGCAGGGUUCUUCACGGUGAUUGCAUCUGAUCUGUUCAGGGACCUGAACGAUUCGCUAAAGCUGGUGCCUCUGCCUGAAGGUAUGAGGGAUAAGCUUCUCCUCUGGGCUUUGCUUAUGUUCGUCAUCUGCUACUCGUGGGAGAGGUUGCUCAGGUGGGCUUUCCCUGGUAAGAUUCCUUCGUGGAAGCAUAAGCAGAGAAGUGUCACUGCGAAUCUGGAGAAGAAGAAGAAGGUAUGAUCAGAAGAGCCAGACAGGGUUAUAGGUUCAGGUAAAACAAUCAAAAAAUACAAUUUUAACUCCGAGAGAGAUGUUGGGUUUUGGGAUCUUGUUUUUGCUGAAGCUUUGAAGACAUGAGCAUAGGUCUCUCUGGUUAAGACAUUUGGUUCUCAUUUCUUAACUUUGUUUUUGGUUACUCUCUAAGAAGAAGAAGCGCACAUUUCUCAAAUACUUGAAUUAAAAUGUAAGGGGUUUACAUUAGUCUCUACCUCUUGUUCCUUGCUUCCAUUUUAUUUCGUUUCUCAGUUCUGUUUAGAGGAUCUGAAAACUUGUAUGCCUGUUUUCGAAACAUUAAAUCAGACUUGAGACCUGUUACACUGCUAGACUAAUAAAUUGAAACCAGUCAAAACGAUUAGUGUCUAACGUUCUGAUUUCGCCUUAUUAUAUAAGCGUGAGUAAUACUGUGGCUUCGAAUGGUGAUGAAACGCCUGAAACGCCCUGCAACCGCUCCGCUGUGAGUACUAUAUAUUUUUGUUACUAUUACAACUGCUUGUUUCGCAGUUGUCCCGCACGUCUCUGAAUGGUGCCCGUGUGUGAAGGUGCACGUUUGCUAGACUGUCUGGUUCACUAUACCUUUGGCUGCUAAACCGUCUGGUUCUGUUAGGCCAACGACACUAUUCUCUCUUCCUAGUGGUAAAACCACUCUGAAAAAUAAAAAAAAGAAAUAUUUUACCAAUAACGGCGGCAAAUACUGAAAAGGGAGAAGCAGAUAAGUAUUAUUUAGGGAUUUUAGCGGUUUUAGGGCUCUCCUCAACAACCACUAUCGACAGCUAUUGUUUUCAAUUUCCUCUACUUUGUCUGGUUCGUUCGUCUCGCCCACCUCCUCGAUCCUAAAGGUGCCGCCUCUCUCAUCUCAAAAUCUCUCGAUUUAAGCCUUCUCUGUUUUCAAUUUUAGAUCGCGAUUAAUCCCCGGCGUUGAUUUUUACUUGUAGCUUGAAAUGUGAAUCGCUAGAGCCUAUGUAAGAUGUCUGAGAAGAAGCUUCGUCCCAUCAAGCUGAAUCGUUAUACCAUGAUGGGAGAAGAUAACAGCUCCUCUAGGAACGCCUUGGUCAAAGUCAAGUUAGAGAAGGACAAGCACGUGUCCUCAGGCUCCUCCGGGAAAGCCAUUGUCACAGUCAAGCUAGAGAAGGAAGAAGAAGAAGAGGGCUUUCAUCAUGUAACUAGAAGCGUCCUGAAAAGAAAACAACUCUCUCAAUCACUAGAUAACAGCUCUCUCGUUGCAGUCAAGAGUGAACACUACACCUUCGAGAAACAGAGAACCACUCGAUGGAGUACUAAUAGGUAACAAAAGACGUCGCCUUUAACAUCAUUCACACUUACCCUUUAUAUAAAGUCGAGUCCUUUUGUAGGGUUGAUUCUGCGGAGCAAGCAAUGGAGGAUGUUUUGAAAGAGGUUGGUGCUUCUUUCGAGAAGCCUAUCUCACGAGGCGAGUUAAGAGCCAUAGCUCGGAAGAGAAUCGGUGAUACUGGGCUGUUGGAUCAUUUGCUGAGGCAUAUCGAUGGGAAUGUGACACCUGGCGGUGCUGAUCGGUUUAGGAGGUGUUACAAUACCGAAGGAGCCAUGCAGUAUUGGCUAGAGAGUGCUGAUUUGCUUAAAGUGAAAUGCGAGUCUGGUGUUCCUGAUCCUAACUGGGUUCCUCCUCCUUGGUGGAAGCUUCAGGGUGUGAUUAAACUUGAGCCUGGGGAUUGUGAACCGUCCUUUAAUCUUAAGGAAGCAAUUGAUCAAAUGAAGAGGUACUAAUGGUUGCAAUGUUUGUUGUGUUUUGAAGUUGAGAUGUGUUUUGAAAUGACGUUUUCUUUGUGGGGGUGUGCAGUGAUAUUAAGGAGCUUGUGGCUGAUGUGGCUCACAUUAAGCGUGAAUCUGGAGUUCCUGAUACUGAUUUGAUUCCUUUAUCUCAAUGGAAGAUUAAGAGAUCAGCGCAUGAGUCUCCUUUAUCUCAAUCUUCUGCUGUCUCUUCAAAGCUUAGGGAAGAGAUUGAUAAAAUGAAGAGGUAUUAUGCUUUCAAUAUUUUCUUUGUUUGAAGUCAAGGAGGUGUACUUGUAAUCUUAUUUUCUUUGCUUCUAAUGCAGUGAUAUCAAGAACCUUGUAUCCAAGCCAAAGUUACCAGAUCAUGCUGAUGCAAAUGAGGUGACCUUUUGAGAUUCAUUUUUGCUUGUUUGCUUAAGGAAUGUGUGAAGUUAGAGACGCAAAACUGUUAUGUUUGCAUUUUUUUUUUCUAGAAACGAUUCACGGAAUGUAUGAAGUGGAAGGUAGAGACUGAUAAGAAAAUUGCAGAGAUCUCAACUUCACUGACUUCAACACAGGUUCAGACCCAAAACAAGUAAACAGUAUUUGUUUGAAUCUUCUUGCCUAGGGAUGUUUUAACUUAGUGAAGCUUUUGUCUACUUUCUUCGGUUGCAGAGCAUGGUUAAGGAACUAACUUCAUGGAAAGAUAAAGUAGAACAUCAGCUGGUGGGAAUUUCAAGCUCGCAGAACAAUCUGCAGGCAAAUGGGAGCAAAUCUCCUCAUAAUUGGGAACAUCUAUUGCAUAGUACCAACUUGGAUGACUUCACAGUGAAUGGUUUUGAUCCAUGGGAUGUUGAAGCUGACCUUACCGAUGUUCUUCCACCAAAUGCUCGCAAAAGCUCUUUCCAAGAUCAUAUGUGGUUUGAGGAACAGUCAGUGCUCAACUCCGAGAUGCAAAGGACGGAGAGGUUAGAACUGUUGCUUUGUUUCUAGGUUAGGCUUUAUGGUUUUAUAUGGUUGUUUAAUGUUUUUGCUUCCUUGUUUAUCUGUAUGACCAGAGGUGAUUCCAGAAGCUCCAAUCAAGACAAAGCAGAGUUGACUCCAGGUUCUUCAGUGACUGCAGGUCCAAGAUCAGAUAUUGACGACCCAACUAUUCUGUCUCAGGUAACAAAUUAGAAACAUUGAUUUGGAUGAUUAUUUUAGGAAAAUCUGAUAGCCUAGAUGUCAACCACCCUCCCAUCUUCUUACAGCCUUUGCUUCAUUCACUACUACACAUUGAUUUAGUUUACAUGCAAUUUUGCCAAUGUUUCACAUGAUGUUAAGGAGUCAUUAUUUGAGAAUCUCAUCAUGUGUUUUUUUUUGUUCAGGAAACAUUGAAAGAGUUGGUGAGUUGGAAAGCCAAAGCGGAGCAGCAGCUAAUGGAAAUGUCAGACGCUGUCCGUGCUCUUCAGGGAUAGAGAGUCAAACACACUAGGCCACAUGAAUGAUAGAUUCACCUACAUAGAAUCCCUUUGGAGACUUCUUGUACAGGGUUUCUGCGAUAACUUGAACAAAGAAAAAAAGGAAACAAUGAGAGUAGAGAUUAGUAGGUUUCUGGAAAGUCAAGGGAACAGGUAGUAGAAGAAGUGAUCCUCUUUACCUAAAUGUGUUAUUGAAGUUAGAGACAAGGCUUUAAUAGUAGUUGUUGCUGUAUAUUCUCUCUGACUACUCUUAUUCAACAAGGAAGGUUUUGAGUAAUCUUUUUUCUUUCUCAUCAUCUUUCUGCUAUCUGAUUAACUUAUCUGCUAAUUAAUCAAAAUAGGUACUAAUCCCUUUCGUGUUCUCUCAUAUCAUAUGAAGAUAAAAAGCAGCUUGGUCUAAGACAAUAAGCAGCUUAGUCUAAGACAAUAAGCAGCUUAAUGACCUCCUCCAAAAUAGAAGUUUCCAUUAAAAUGUUAAAACUUAAAAGCAUAGAGAGAGAGAGUUUCACAAAACAUGACUCAAGAAACCAUUCUUAUUUUUCAUUUAUUCAUUAGUCUUCCAAAAUCUAAAAGUUGAUUGGAAAGAUAUUGUUUAACCAGAACCGGCCGGUUUGUGGUUUAAAUUGACAAUAAUAAUAGUGGGCCUAGUUAGGCCUCAAGCCCACUUAAAACCUUUAAAGCGACGUCAUUAGACUAUAAACGACGUCGUAAGGCUAAUAAAGAGCUUAAACUCAAAAUCUCCCAGCAAGUUCAGUUCCAUCUUCUUCAAUCCACGACGAAUCACGCGAUCGAUUGAUUCCUCCUCCUCCUCCUCUUCGACUCCAUAUCCCUCACAGGUAAAAAUCGUUUUCUCAAGCACUAUACUUUCUCUAUUUCUCGGAUUGUCCUUGCUCGAAGUAAACUUCCAACGAUUCGUAUGGUUUUCACUUUAAUUCGAGAUGUAAUGUUUUGAGCCAAUAUAAUUUUAGGGGUUUGUUAUAAUAUUCGUUAAUGUUUAAGAUUAGUUCAUAAUAGCCUUUAAGAACCUUGAACGAGAGACUUUUUUUUUUUGAAUAUACUGCAUUUUGCUGUUAAUUUCUUGUUAGAUUAUUUAAGUUUAAUAUUCUGAUUCGUGGCUACGUUUAAUAGCAAUAAAGAUAACUCCUUUGUGGUUUUGUGCAAUAGAAGAAUGGAGGGUUUUGUGGAUCACUAUAUAGUUCUUGGCUUACCCCUCUGGAGAGGAAGCUCUGAAGCUUAGCGAGAAGGAGAUUACGAAAGCUUACAAGUUGAAAGCUUUGGUCUUGCAUCCAGAUAAAACGCCCUGAUGAUCCCAACGCUCACGAGAAGUUUCAGAGGGUCAAGACAUCUUACGAGGUUCUCAAAGAUGAGAAGGGACGGAAGCUGUUUAAUGAGCUUCUUAGAAUCCAGCGCGAGAAACAGGAGAAGAAAUAUCAAGUGGAUUCCAAGAGGAGGAAAGGGAGCGUUCUGGUUUUGCUCCUACUCGUGCGGCUAGGGGUUGUGAUGAAGAGGAGAGGAUUGCGAGGAAGGUUAAGGAGGAGGUGGAUAGGAUACGUGCGGUGUAUGCGAAGAAGAGAGGUGGGUUUGAAACCCCGGAGAGUGGUGGUGUUGAUGGGAAGAAAAAAGAAAAUAGAAGUAGAGCUGGUGCUGGUGUUCAACUUGAUAAAGAGAGAGGGUUGAAGGUUUCUUGGGAUACAACUGGUGAAGGUUAUACAGUGGGGAGGCUGAGAGAAGUGUUUGGUGGCGUUGAAGAUGUUGUCAUCAGGAGUACUAAAAAGAAAUGCUCUGCUCUUAUUGUAAUGGCUACAAAAUGCUGUAAGUUGUUAACUUGGUUUCUCUCGUUUUUUAUGUCAAUAAUCUAGUAGUGGUUUAUUUCAUUUUGUUUUUAUUUUCUCUCUUGUAGGUAGCAGCGACUAGAACAUUGUGUGGUGAUCUCUCUAAUCCAUUGCUGGUUGUACCUCUUCAGAGAGCCCAAACCGAUUUCGUGACCGCUGAGAAAACUUCAGAAGUAGAACCGCAGAGCAAUUGGUAUUGGUUAUCAAGCUUAUGAAGACCAGGUCAUGGAAAGACUGAGAAAGGUAUUUCUACUCAAAUUCAUGUUGUUUGGUGUUUAGUGUUUAAUCUCUAGUGUUCAAUGUUUAGUGUUUAAAUUUUGAUGUUUAGGGUAGUGGUUACGGUUUUUAAUUGAAUUUUUUCUUUAAAAACUCUGAUAUAUAUUACUUUUUCAUGUUGAAUAAUAGGCGGGUAUGAACCAGAAACGAUAAUGGAGCAAGGCCAAAGUGAAAGUGGUCGUCCCUCACAGCCUCGUUGAACAAGGUUUUGCGUACAUCCAAAGUCAUAUCAAUUAUUUUGAAGAAAACACACACAACGUGUUGAAAAUAUAUAAUUUAUAUUUUGCGAUAUAUAUUAUUCAAGUUUGAGAGAAACAGGCAGUGUAAUGCGAUCAUCUGAACACGUUUUGCCAUUAUCCAGUGUCCUAGGAAGCGAGCACGUAGAUACCUACUAUACAUAAAAAUAUUUACUUGAUUUUAUUGGUCAAUGAAAAGUUAAAUUAAUUCAUAUAUAUCUGUAACAGCUAAUUAUGUUUUGCUAGUGAUUAUAUUUUCAUUUGCCCAAUAAAAGUGGUCUCUCUUCAAAUUCAAGUCGGUUUCUUUCCUUACUAUUUUCUUCUUCCUCUGCUUAAACAGAAAAGUCAGGCUCUCAGACUAUGGCCAGCGAGUCAAGAACCAGAUGGGUUUUACCUUACCGGACCAAGAACUUGAAAGACGAUUACUUACUUGGUCGUGUGCUCGGACAAGGACAGUUUGGAACCACUUUCCUCUGUUCCCAUAAGGAGACUGGUCAAAAGCUUGCCUGCAAAUCCAUACCUAAGAGGACGCUCCUUUGUCAAGAAGAUUGCGACCAGGUUUUGAGGGAGAUCCAGAUAAUGCAUCACUUGUCUGAAUACCCCAACGUUGUCCGGAUACACAGCACGUACGAGGAUGCUACUAGCGUGCACCUUGUGAUGGAGCUUUGCGAAGGUGGUGAGUUGUUUGAUAGAAUCGCGGAGAAAGGUAAUUACAGUGAGAGAGAUGCUGCUAAGGUUAUCAAGACUAUUGUUAGCGUCGUUGAGGCUUGUCACUCUCUUGGUGUUAUGCAUAGAGAUCUUAAGCCUGAGAACUUCUUGUUCUCUUCUGAUGAUGAAGAUGCUUCUCUUAAAUCUACAGACUUUGGCGUCUCUGUUUUCUGCGAACCAGGUCUGAUUUUGAUUCUUUCCUCCUUUGCACAUCCUUCUCCUUCUCUGGUUUCGUCCAUGAUUGUGUUGUUGGACACUGUGUCAUUGAACCCUUGCUUAAAGAACUUGUUGUGACUGUGAGUUUUUUUUGUUUUUGUCAGGCACAACGUUUUCAGAACUUGUUGGAAGUGCCUACUAUGUAGCACCUGAAGUGUUACUUAAGCAUUACGGCCGUGAAUGUGACGUAUGGAGCGCUGGAGUUAUCCUCUACGUUCUGUUAUGUGGUUUUGCUCCUUUCGAUGCUGGUCAGAUUCUUUCUUUCUCUUUAAAGAUAUGUAUAAUCGCAGCGUGUUCACGCUCUCAUCUCAUGUGUCCUAUUUUGUAACCAGGAACUGAUAAUGGGAUCUUUAGAGAGAUUUUACUGGGAAAGCUGGACUUUGAGACCGAUCCUUGGCCUAGCAUUUCAGAAAGUGCCAAGGAUCUUACAAUGAAAAUGCUCGAGAGCGAUCCAAAGAAGAGACUAACUGCUCAUCAAGUCUUGUGUAAGCUCUCUUGCUUGUUGGGUUUAGCUGCUAAAGAUGAUGUAUAAUAGUGGUGAUUCAUGUGUUCUUAUAUUCUCAGGUCACCCAUGGAUUGUGGAUGAUACGGUUGCUCCAGAUAAACCAUUGGACUUUGCAGUAGUGUCUCGCUUGAAAAGGUUCUCUGCAAUGAACAAACUUAAGAAGAUGGCUUUACGCGUAGUUGCAGAGAGACUAUCUGAGGAAGAAAUUGGUGGGCUCAAAGAACUGUUCAAGAUGAUAGACAGAGACAACAGUGGGACCAUCACGUUUAAAGAGUUGAAAGAUUGUAUCAGACGUGUUGGGUCAGAGCUUGUGGAAUCAGAGAUCCAAGAACUCUUGCAAGCAGUAAGUAGCAACUCUCUUCUUAUUGUCAACUUUCACUAUUCAGUCUUAUCUAAUACCAUAUUAUGAUUGUGUGUGUGUAUUAGGCUGAUGUUGAUGGGAGUGGAACAAUUGACUAUGGAGAGUUUUUGGCUGCAACAAUCCACUUGAACAAGCUGGAGAGAGAGGAGAAUCUAGUGGCUGCAUUCUCUUUCUUUGACAAAGAUUCAAGUGGCUGCAUCACUCUGGAAGAACUCCAACAGGCUUGGAAGCAGUUUGGUAUAAAAGAUUCAAAUCUUGAUAAAAUGAUCAAAGACAUCGACCAAGACAAUGUAAGAUAGAUCUUUUACUGUUUCCUUGUGAAGUAGCUGAGAGGAAGUUUAAUGGUGUUUGAUUCUUGUAGGAUGGACAAAUAAACUAUGGAGAGUUUGUGGCAAUGAUGAGGAAAGGAAAUGGCAAUGUUGGGAUCAGCCGGAGAACAAUGAGGAACACACUCAACUUUGAGAAUUUUCUUCCUGAAUGAAUGACUAAACUUUCUGUUUCGGUUUUAAAACCAGUUAUGUUUUCAAUAAAACCAAUUAUGAGGAGUGUAAUUGGAAUCAUGCUCUUAACAAUUAUCAAUUGUUGAUCUUGCCAGUUUUUGUUUUUUUUGGGUAUCAUUGUUCUUACCAGUUAGCAGAGGUUCUCUGUUACAAAAUGGUGUUUGGACUUAAUGUGUCUUGAAAUGUUGAAUUUAAUAACUUUACCGAUACAGUUUAACAAGUAAAAACAAAAACAAAAAGAAAUUAAGAAACUAUAACUUAGUUUAGAGAGAGGGAGAAAAUAUUAGUUUUUCUUCUUUACCAGUGGGUCAAGCAUUUCCUCAAAAUGCAUCUUCUCAACUCCUUCCUCUCCUCUUCAAGCCCAUUUUGAACAUUCAAAGUAGCCCAUUUUAAACCUUCAAAGCGACCCACUUAAAACUAUAAACGACGUCGUAUAUGGAGGUUGAGAAAGAGCAUCUAAUUCAAAAAUCUGAAGCAAGUUCCAUCUUCUUCAAUCCACAACGAAUCACGCGAUCAAUUGAUCCUUCUUCUUCAACAGGUACCUCGAUUUCUCAUGCGCGAGAGACUUUCUCUAUUCCUCCGAUUGCUCUUGCUCGAAUGAAUCCAGUUCUAGUGUUCCGCUUUGAUUACUAGAGUUUUUCACUCUAAUUCGAAACAGUUUUGAUCGGAUUUGUAUAUCUCAAUCCAAUAGAAUUUGAGGUUUUUAUAGUGUAAUAUCCAUUGAUGUUUAAGGUUAGUUCGAAACCUUUUUUUGAAUAAACUGCUCUGAAAUUGAGAAAAGCUUCUUCACCAAGAUUAGCAAAGGUCUCUUUAACAUAUUCAAGUUUACAAUUUUGAUUGGUGGGUAGGGUUUAAUUGCACAGAAGAAGAGGAUAGAGAUUAGAGAGAGAGAUGGAUGGUUUUGUGGAUCAUUAUAUAGUUCUAAGGGUUAUCCUCUGGAGAGGAGAAACUCUGAAGCUUACCGAGAAGGAGAUUUCUAAAGCAUACAAGUUGAAAGCUUUGGUCUUGCAUCUGGGUAAAUGUCCAGAUGAUCUGAUCUUAUUAUUGUAAUGGCUACAAAAGAAGAAGCUGUGAGUAUCAACUUGGUUUCUUCUCUCGUUUUUUUUUUGUUAUAUGUCAAAAAAAUCAAAUGGUGGAUUACUUCUUUUUACGAGAACAUUGUGUAGUGAUCUCUCUAAUCCAUUGCUAGUUUUACCUCUUCAGAGAACCAAACCGGUUUUUUGACCGCCAAGAAAAAUCUACCGAAGCAGAGCAACAUGGUUGGUGCUAAUGCUCAAAAAAAGAAAGAAAAAAAGACAUGGUUGGUGAUGGUUAUCAAGCUUAUGAAAACGAUGUCAUGGAAAGACUGACAAAGGUAUUUUCUACUUAGUGUUUAGUUGUUUAUGCUUUAGUGUUUAGGGUCUAAGAUUUAAUGGUUUAUGAUUCAGGUUUUAGUGUUUAGAGUUUAAAGUUUAGUGUUUAGGUUUUAAGUUUUUUUAUUAAAUUUUCUUUUCAAAAACUCUGAUAUAUAUAUUACUCUUUUUUCUUGUAUGAACCAGAAACGAUAAUGGAAUAAGCCACAUGAUCAAGAGUUGAGCUUCUUUUAGGCCAAUGGUCCUCCCUCAUAGCCUCGUUAAACAAGGUUUUGCGUACAUCCAAAGUCAUAUCAAUUAUUUUGAAGAAAACACACAACGUGUUCAAAAUAUAUAAUUUAUAUUUUUACUCUAUAUAUUAUUCACGUUAUGGCAUGAAAUGAGACCAUCUGAACACGUUUUGCCAUUAUCCUGUGUCCUAGGAAGCGAGCACGUAGGUACCUACUAUCCAUAAACAUAUUAACUUAAUCGUUUUGGUCAAUAAAAAUAUCUGUAACAACAGGUAAUGAUUACUAUUUGAUUAUAUUUUCAUUUGCCUGAUAAAAGUGGUCUUCACUUGUCUCUCUUCAUUGCCUUUAAGUCAGUUUCUUUCCUCAUUAUCUUCUUCUUCCUCUUCUAUGGCCAGCUAGUCAAGAACCAGAUGGGUUCUACCUUACAAGACCAAGAACUUGAAAGACGAUUAUUUUCUUGGUCGUGUGCUCGGACAAGGACAGUAUGGAACCACUUUCCUCUGUACCCAUAACGAGACGGGUCAAAAGCUUGCCUGCAAAUCCAUACCCAAAAGGAAGCUUCUUCGUCAAGAACAUUUCGACCGUGUUUUGAGGGAGAUCCAAAUAAUGCAUCACUUGUCUGAAAACCCAAACGUUGUCCGGAUACAAAGCACGUACGAGGAUGCUACUAGCGUGCACCUUGUGAUGGAGCUCUGCGAAGGUGGUGAGUUAUUUGAGAGAAUCGCCAAGAAAGGUCAUCACAGUGAGAGAGAAGCAGCUAAGCUCACCAAGACCAUUGUUGCGGUCAUCGAAGCUUGUCACUCUCUUGGUGUUAUGCAUAGAGACCUUAAGCCUGAGAACUUCUUGUUCUCUUCUUGUGAUGAAGACGCUUCGAUUAAAUCUAUCGACUUUGGUCUCUCUGUUUUCUGCAAACCAGGUCUGGUUUUGAUUCUUUCUCUCCAUGAUUGUGUUGUGGGACACUGUUUCAUUGAACCCUUUCUUAAAGACCCAUGUUUUAAAUGCUUAUGUUUGUUUCUUUGUUUUUGUCAGGUUCAACGUUUUCUAAACUUGUUGGAAGUGCAUACUAUGUGGCACCUGAGGUUUUACGUAGGCAUUACGACCGUGAAUGUGACGUAUGGAGCGCUGGAGUUAUCCUUUACAUGCUAUUAUGUGGUUUUCCUCCUUUCAAUGCUGGUUAGAUUCUUUCUUUCUCUUUUGUCUUUAUAUUGCAGCGUUUCAGUCUCUCUCGUCUCAUUUGUCCUAAUUUGUAUCCAGGAACUGAACGUGGGAUCUUUAGAAAGAUUCUACAGGGAAAGCUGGACUUUGAGACCGAUCCUUGGCCUAGCAUCUCAGAGAGUGCCAAGGAUCUUAUAAAGAAGAUGCUUGAGAGUGAUCCAAAGAGAAGGCUAACUGCUCAUCAAGUCUUGUGUAAGCUUACUUAUAUGAGCUUAAUAUAGAUUCUUGCUAACGUGUGAUUGAAGUUGUCUUGUUUUGUCAGGUCACCCUUGGAUUGUGGAUGAUACGGUUGCUCCAGAUAAACCAUUGGGCUUUGCAGUAGUGUCCCGCUUGAAAAGGUUCUCUGCAAUGAACAAACUUAAGAAGAUGGCUUUACGCGUAGUUGCAGAGAGACUAUCUGAGGAAGAAAUUGGUGGGCUCAAAGAACUGUUCAAGAUGAUAGAUACAGACAACAGUGGAACCAUCACGUUUGAAGAGUUGAAAGACAGUGUCAGAUGUGUUGGGUCAGAGCUUGUGGAAUCAGAGAUCCAAGAACUCUUGCAAGCUGUAAACUAGCAACUUAACUUUCACUAUUCUUCUUAAGUUUUAUCCAACAUCAUCUUAUGAUGUGUGUGUGUGUUUGUUAUUAGGCUGAUGUUGAUGAGAGUGGAACGAUAGACUAUGGAGAGUUCUUGGCUGCAACAAUCCACUUGAACAAGCUGGAAAGAGAGGAGAAUCUAGUAGCUGCAUUCUCUUUCUUUGAUAAAGAUGCAAGUGGUUGCAUCACUGUUGAUGAACUCCAACAGGCUUGGAAGCAGUUUGGGAUAAAAGAUUCGAAUCUGGAUAAAAUGAUCAAAGACAUCGACCAAGACAGUGUAAGUGAUAUUCACUGUUUCCUAGUGAAGGAGCUAAGUCAAAGUUUGAUGGUGUUUGCUUGUUUUGUAGGAUGGAAGAAUAGACUAUGGAGAAUUUGUGGCAAUGAUGAGAAAAGGCAAUGGUGGCAGUGAUGGGAUCAGCAGGGGCACAAUGAGGAACAUUCAACUCUGGAAUUUUCUUGAUAGAACUUUCUGUUUCUGUUUUAAAAGCAGUUAUGUUUUCAAUAAAAACUAAUUAUGAGUAGUGUAAUUGGAAUCAAGCUCUUAAACAGUUAUCAAACAUUGUUCUCAGAGGUUUAGCUCUCUGGUACAAAAUGGUAUGUGGCCUUAAUAUAAUGUGUGUCUUGACAUGUGUGACAUUAAUAACUUUACCAAAGCAGUUUAACAUGUGAGAUUUAUGCGGUUUAACUUUACAAAGUGGUGACAUGUUGUAUUAGUGUUGAAUUACAAUAAAGUUUUAAUUCGAUUUAACUCACAGUAAAAAUUAUGUAGUUAUAAACCGUAGAUUUAUGUAUUGUUUGUUGUAAAAAUUUAUUAUAUUUUUAAAAUAAUUGACAGUUAAAGUUUUUGAUGUAUAAGUUGAAGUAUGUUUUAAAAAUAUGAAUAUCUGUAAUAAUAUUAUUUAUUAUAAAUUUGCUAAAAUAAACUAGAGAAACUAAAAUAAAUUAAAUUUUAAAAAUAAUUUAAUUUAAGAAAAUAUACAUAAAUAUAUGUAUAUACUAUAACAAAUGGUAUCUAUAUAUUUACAAAUAUUUUUGUGUAAAAACUUCAGUUACCAAAUAGACAGUUAAAGUUAUAGGACAAUUUCGUUUAAUAGUUUAAAUAAAAAUAUUUUGAAAUUUUAUUAAUUGAUAUUAAAAACAAGUGAAAUCAUGGUCAUGUUACAAUUUUAUAAAUUAUUGAUUUGUACUUUAUAAUGCAUAAAUUGUAUGAAAAUUAUAAAUGAUAAGAAUAAUAAUAAUAAUAAUAAUAAUAAUAAUAAUAAUAAUAAUAAUAAUAAUAAUAAUAAUAAUAAUAAUAAUAAUAAUAGCAAUUAUUACAAAUUUAAUAAGAAAAUUGAUAAAAUAAAAUAUUUUAAAUUUAAAUAACAAAAGCUAAUUAAAUAAAUAGUAAAUAUUUUUAUGUAAGCUUAUUAUUGUUACCAAACGUAAUUAACAUUUAAAAUUACAGGGACUAUUUUAUUAGACAAAUUCAAAUAAGAAGAAGUUUAUGCAAUAUUUUUCUAACAAACAAAUAGUUGUUUUUUUUUUGUUGAAGAAUUUUUACCAAUUAAAAAAAAAAGAAACAUGGGACAUAAUCUUAAAGUAACGUGGAAGUGGGAUUUUAAUUAAAAAAAAAAUUCUUAUAAACUAUUAACUCAAAAAAUGAAUACAUGGAAUUUUCUUUGAUGUUGAAUAAGUGUUUGAGUUAUCAACUUAACAAAAGAUGUAACUCAAAAUUGUAUGUCAAUUAUAACACAUAAUAACUCAAAAAAAUUGAUUCUACUUCAUGAAUGGUGGUAAUAUUUUGAGUUAUAUUAUAACUCAAACUAAAUCAUGGCUAAUGCAUGUCACCAAUCAAAGCAGUUGUUUUCUUCUUUUUCUCUGAUCAACUUCUUAUAUGUUAAUUGUUUUCUGUAAUUAGAGAAUGUUCAACAAGUUUCUGUGUUGCAUCCAAAGUCAUAUCAAUUAUUUUGAAGAAAACACACAACGUGCUGAAACUAUAUAAUUUAUAUUUUUAUCAUAUGAAACUCAAGUUUAAAAUAAAACAGGCAAAUCUGAUAUCAUGAAAUGAGAUCAUCUGACCAUGUUUUUGCCAUUAUCAUGUUGUAUGUUCUAUAUCUUAGAGCAUCUCCAAAGGCACUCUAUUUUUUCCUCUAUAAUUUACACUAAAAUAGAGUAACUCUAUUAUAGAGUUAAAUUUGCUCCAAUGGUUCACUCUAUAAUAGAGUUACUCUAUAAUAGAGUGAAAUAUAGAGUAAUCAUAUUUUUUUACUCCAAAUAUAGAGUGAAAAAACAAGAAUACUCUAUAUUUCACUCUAUUAUAGAGUAACUCUAUUAUAGAGUGAACCAUUGGAGCAAAUUCAACUCUAUAAUAGAGUUACUCUAUUUUAGAGUGAAAUAUAGAGGAAAUUAUAGAGUGUGAUUGGAGAUGGUCUUACAACUCACCAUGCUCAUUGCACAUUAUAUAUAAAAAUAUUAACUUAAUGUUUUUGGUCAAUGAAAUGUUCAAUUAAUUCAUAUAUAUCUGUAACAGCUAAUAAUUACUAGCUGACAACUUAUUCAACUAAAACAACCAAGUCAAGUAAUUAAUAACUUGCCAUUCAUUAUUCAUUUAAUGUGAAAAGAAAAGAAAAAAACUCAAAUGGGAAGCUAAUUCAAUAAAAGUUGUGUUAAAUUCCCUCUCUUCAGUUUCUUUCCUCAUUGUUUUCUUCUUCAUCUUUUCCAAAGAACAAGUCAAGACUCUGAAAACUAUGGCCAGCGAAUCAAGAACCAGAUGGGUUCUCCCUUACAAGACCAAGAACCUGAGAGACGACUACGUUCUUGGUCGUUUCCUCGGACAAGGACAGUAUGGAACCACUUCCCUCUGCACCCACAAGGAAACUGGUCAAAAGCUUGCCUGCAAAACCAUCCCCAAGAGGAAGCUCCUUUGCCAAGAAGACUACGACGACGUUUUGAGGGAGAUCCAGAUAAUGCAUCACUUGUCUGAAUACCCCAACGUUGUCAGGAUACAAGAAACGUACGAGGAUGAUACCAGCGUCCACCUUGUGAUGGAGCUUUGUGAAGGUGGUGAGUUGUUUGAUAGAAUCGCGAUGAAAGGUCAUUACAGUGAGAGAGAUGCAGCUAAGGUUAUCAAGACCAUUGUUAGCGUCGUUGAGGCUUGUCACUCUCUUGGUGUUGUGCAUAGAGAUCUUAAGCCUGAGAACUUCUUGUUCUCUUCAACUGAUGAAGACUCUUCUCUUAAAUCUACUGACUUUGGCCUCUCUGUUUUCUUCAAACCAGGUCUGGUUUUUGAUUCUUUCCUCCUUUGACUUUUGCAUAUAUUUUUUUCUCAUUUCAUCUAUGAGAUUUUGGCUCCUAUAGACAAUAUUAAGGGUUUAUAUAAUUUUCUAUAUAUAUAAAUUUGGGAACCUACGUAUAUAUGCAUUUUUUUAAUAUUUUGGGAUCUAUAUACCAAUAGUUCACUAGCCUAUGUUCAGGACCGGCUAUGUCUACGAUUGUGUUGUCGGAUACUGUUUCAUUGAACCCUUGCUUGUGUGUGUUUUGUCCACUCAAAUCUAUGUUUCUUUGUGUUCUGUCAGGUGCAACGUUUACAGACCUUGUUGGAAGUGCAUACUAUGUGGCACCUGAGGUUUUAAAUAGGCAUUACGGUCGUGAAUGUGACGUGUGGAGUGCUGGAGUUAUCCUCUACAUUCUAUUAUGUGGUUUCCCUCCUUUCAAUGCUGGUUAGAUUCUUUCUUCCACACUAGAGAUAUGUAUAAUUGCAGCGUUACCGUUACUAGGUUUGAUUCAUGUUGGGAGGGACUCUCUCAUGUCAUGUGUGUCCUAUUUUGUAUCCAGGAACUAAAUAUGGGAUCUUCAGAAAGAUUAGACAGGGUAAGGUGGAGUUUGAGACCAGUCCUUGGCCUAGCAUUUCAGAGAGUGCCAAGGAUCUUAUAGGGAAGAUGCUUGAGAGCAAUCCACAGAAAAGGCUAACUGCUCAUCAAGUCUUGUGUAAGCAGCACUUGCCUUUUGAGUCUACACUGUUAAGGAUGGUGUAUAUUAUUGCUAGUGUGUGAUUCAUAUGUUUUUAUUUUGUCAGGUCACCCUUGGAUUGUGGAUGAUACUGUUGCUCCAGAUAAACCACUGGACUUUGCAGUUGUGUCUCGCCUGAAAAGGUUCUCUGCAAUGAACAAACUCAAGAAGACGGCUUUACGCGUAGUUGCAGAAAGACUAUCUGAGGAAGAGAUCGGUGGGCUCAAAGAAUUGUUCAAGAUGAUAGACACAGACAACAGUGGGACCAUCACGUUUGAAGAGUUGAAAGACAGUGUCAGACGUGUUGGAUCAGAGCUUGUGGAGUCAGAGAUCAAAGAACUCUUGGAAGCAGUAACUAACUACUCUUUUCUUACUAUAAACUUUCGCUAAGUAUCAUCUUAUGAUGUGUGUGUGUUUGUUAUUAGGCUGAUGUUGAUGAGAGUGGAACAAUAGACUAUGGAGAGUUCUUGGCUGCAACAAUCCACUUGAACAAGCUGGAGAGAGAGGAGAAUCUAGUGGCUGCAUUCUCUUUCUUUGACAAAGAUUCAAGUGGUUGCAUCACUAUGGAUGAACUCCAACAGGCUUGGAACCAGUUUGGUAUAAAAGAUUCACAUCUUGAUGAAAUGAUCAAAGACAUUGAUCAAGACAAUGUUAGUAGUUGUUUCACAAAGUUUUUUGUCUGUUUUCUUAUGAUGGAGCUAACAUGAAUGUGAAUGGUGUUUGCUUCUUGUAGGAUGGACAAAUAAACUAUGGAGAGUUUGUGGAAAUGAUGAGGAAAGGCAAUGACAAUUUUGGAAUCAGCAGAAGAACAAUGAGGAGCACUCUCAACUUUGAGAAUCCUCUUCCUCAUGAGCCUAAGGAAUGAUUAAACUUCUCAUUUUACUGAAUUUUUCUUGAUAUAACUUCCUGUUUAUGUUUUAACACCAGUUAUGUUUUCAAUUAAAAAACAAUUAUGACUAGUGUAGUUGGAUUUAAACUGGGACCCGAUUUAAAUUAUUCCCAUUAUCAAACUUUGAUCUUACCAUGAGAGAAAGAAACUGAAAUAGGUGCAAGAAAAUAGGAAUCACAGAGUACAAUACCAACCUUAUCAAGUGCUAGGAGAACACACAUAAAGAGUUGAUUCAACAGAAUGAUGCAGAAGAGAAAAAAGUGCAGACGACCUCUAGAAGACAACAGUGUCAAGCAUGGUACCUAGCGUCUGAACAAUGUUGGAAGACAUCAAGUUGGAAACAUGUUCUUCCAGAUGCUUCUUUGCGUCUUGUCUUCCCACAUUCACAAUCGCCAGUUUCUCUGGUGACAACUCGUCCUCCUCUUGUACCGCCUUGUUAUACUUAGCAGCUAAGUUCAACAUUUCCUGAGAGACAAUGCCAAUGACCAUGAGUGUGACAUGUUUGAAUAAAUAAAAAGAUUGCAAAAUAAUUGAAUCCUUUAUUACCUGCACGGUCUGUUCGUUUGUCUUGGAGUGGGUGUCAAAGGGUCUUAGGGUCAAACCAUCUGUCCAUUUCUUCUUGUGGAGGUUUAGUAACAUCUUCUCCUCGAGCUCGUUCUUCCUAUAGUUGAUGGCUAUUGAAUAGUAAUGUCUGUUCAAUCCAUGAAUCAAAGCCUGUAUAGUAGUAAACCAAAGUCAGUGUUAGAGACACCCUUUGACUGUGUUCCAACUUUAUAAAAGAUUUCACUAAGUGAUCCAUCACCUGGAUGGAUGGUUUGUUCAGGUGGCCAAGGUUGGACGUUGUCUGACGAGGUUCUUGCCCAAGUAUAAUAGUCUGCGGGUUUAUCGAACGAAACGCAUCAAUCACCACUUUACCCUUCACACUCUGAAUCGGAUCAACCACCACUGCUACAGUGAUAAGAACAGAGAUGAUUAUCGAAGAGUAUCCUCCCAACCGCCCACUCUUAAUCUCCACACCCGGAGAGUUAAGCCAUUUACAACAAUCUCUGGAUGCUUCUUUCUGUUGACUCUAGAGACCUUUUAUAGUUCAAGGUCUCCUUUACAAAUAUCUGUAACAAACUCUUUUUGAAUAUAACUACUUGUUGACUAAGUCAACAGACUUCACACUUCAGUCUUCUCUUCUUUACUGUAUAGCUUCUUUGUUCACUGCUCUCUUCCUUCUCGUAGUAUACACUCGUAGUGGCAUAUCAAUACCCCCCUCGCGAAGACCGAGCUUGCCCUCAAGCUCAUAAGAUGGAAACUGCACUUUAAACUCCUUCACACGCAUCCAAGAAGUCUCGUGAGAAGGUAAGUUCUUCCAACGAAUCAACACCUCAAGAUGUCCUUCCUCACAAUAUCUAACCUCAAGCAACUCCUCUGGUUCCACCACUAACUCAUCAGACUCCGACACUGUAGGAGGUAACGAAGAAACCGACUGUCCCUGGCCCACGACCGGUUUCAGUUGAGAGACGUGAAACACUGGAUGUAUCUUCGAAUCCUCCGGAAGACGUAGGCGAUAAGCAACCUGACCUAUCUUUUCUAACACCUCAUACGGCCCGUAAUAACGAGCAGCCAACUUCUGACAGAUCCUUCUCUGUACCGACUGCUGUCUAUAAGGCCGUAGCUUGAGAUAUACUCUAUCCCCAAUAGCAAAAGUCAACUCUCGUCGGUGCUUAUCAGCAUUGGUUUUCAUCCUUUCCUGUGCCCGUAACAAAUGUUGUUUCACAUCACACAACAAGGCAUCACGUUCUUUCAACAUAGUCUCUAACUCAAAGUUCUGCGUCGAACCAUCCUCGAACCGCAAUAGAGAUGGUGGAUCACGCCCGUAAACCAUCUUGAAAGGAGAACAUUGUGUGGCGGUAUGAAAUGACGUAUUAUACCAGAGCUCCGCCCACAUCAGAUACUUCGACCAGGUCUUAGGGUGAGCAGAAGCAAAACACCGUAGGUAUGUUUCAAGGCAACGGUUAAGAACCUCAGUCUGGCCAUCAGACUGCGGAUGAAAAGCUGUGCUGAACCUUAACCGUGUUCCCGAGGCUUUGAAACAGUCACGCCAGAAGUUGCUCAAAAACACUCUAUCACGAUCCGAUAUAAUAGACUUAGGAUAACCAUGAAGACGGACCACUUCAGCGAGAAACUUCUUUGCUACGUCAGUGGCGGUGAACGGAUGUUUCAAGGGUAAGAAAUGGCUGUAUUUACUCAAUCUAUCAACAACAACCAAUAUCACGUUCACACCUGCUGAAGAUGGAAGACCUUCAAUGAAAUCCAUUGAAAUAUCAUCCCAAAUCUGAAUCGGUAUCUCAAUCGGUUGCAGCAACCCAGCUGGAGAAAGUGUGGAAUAUUUAUGAGUCUGACACACCUCACAAGCUGCAACAUACUCACUAACCCGCUUGCGCAUCUUUGCCCAGUAAAAGUUUGCCUUGACUCUCUUUAACGUCUUAAGAACCCCGGAAUGACCUCCCAAUAAGCCAUCAUGGCACUCUUGCAGUAUCAAACCAAUGUACUUUGAGUUUGAAGGUAAUACGAGACUCCCUUUAUAUAACAAACGCCCACGACAGAGAGUAUACCCUUCUUUGACUUUCUCAUUAGUGCUCAGCCUCCCAAUCAACUCUUGAAUCCCCUGGUCUGCAUCAAUUUCCGCAUAAAUGUCUUGAAGUUGUAACGGAGAGUGCACUGUUAAUGCCCUCAACCGAGAUGGCACAUCCAACGCAGCAUACUGCACAAUCCGAGAAAGACCGUCUGCGACUUUAUUCUCUGCCCCCACCUUAUACUCUAUGUCAAAGUCAUAACCCAUGAUCCUUGUUAACCACCUCUGAUAAUCCAAGGUAACCUCACGCUGCUCCAACAAGUACUUCAAACUUUGCUGAUCAGUGCGAACUACAAAACGCCUUCCCAAAAGAUAAUGCCGCCAUUUUUGAAUUGACAACACAAUCGCCAUCAACUCCCUUUCGUAGAUAGGUUUCAAUUGUUCCUUACUAGUCAGAGCAUGACUAAAGUAAGCAAUUGGAUGCUUAUCUUGCAUCAACACCGCACCUAACCCAAAACCUGAUGCAUCUGACUCAAUCACAAAUACUUUGGUGAAGUCAGGUAAAGCCAAGACUGGUGUAGAAACCAUCGCCUUUUUCAAUGAAUCAAAAGCUGCUUGAGCUGCACACGACCACAGAAACUGCUCUUUCUUUAGUAACUCUGUUAACGGCUUCGCUAGCAUUCCAUAAGCUUGAACAAAACGACGGUAGUAACCUGUAAGACCCAAGAACCCGCGAAGGUCCUUCACCGUUCGAGGAUGAGGCCAGUUCACCACUGCACUGAUCUUUUGAGGAUCAGUAGAUACUCCAAACUCUGAGAUAAUGUGCCCUAGAUACUCCACUUGCUUCUGACCAAAGGCACAUUUCUUUUUAUUGGCAAACAGUUUCUGCUCUUCAAAUACCUGUAAAACUGCUUCCAAAUGCUUCACAUGUUCCUCCAUAGAUGAACUGAAUAUCAAGAUAUCAUCAAAAAAUACCAAUACAAACUUCCUCAAGAACUUCUGAAACACUUCAUUCAUUAAAGCUUGGAAUGUAGCUGGAGCAUUGGUCAGCCCAAAGGGCAUGACAAGGAAUUCAUAAUGUCCUUCAUGUGUGCGAAAAGCGGUUUUCUCGACAUCCUUUUCCUUCAUCCGUAUUUGAUGAUAUCCCGAUCGAAGAUCCAGUUUCGAAAAGUACUUGGCUCCAUGCAACUCAUCUAAAAGCUGAUCGAUGACUGGGAUGGGAUACUUAUCUGGAAUAGUAGCUCUGUUCAAAGCUCGAUAAUCUACACAAAACCUCCAAGAAUUGUCCUUCUUUCUGACCAAGAGUACCGGGCUUGAAUAAGGACUAUGGCUUGGUCGAAUUGAUCCCAUCGCUAACAUCUCUUGUACACUUUUCUCCAUUACAUCCUUGUGAACUUGAGGGUAACGAUAGGGUCUGACACUUACUGGGCCCAUGCCUGGUUGUAAGGUGAUCCCAUGUUCUCUACCACGCACUGGAGGCAACUCAGUUGGCUCCUGAAACACAUGAUCAAACUUUCUCAAAACCUCCUGGAGACUUGCAUGAACCUCAAUGUUCUCCUGUAAAGCUUUAAGGGACUUCUGUGGUUGGUGUACCAAUUGAUCACCCGUCAGCUUAACUCGUUUCCCUUGAUACCAGAACUCAUACUCAUGCUUCUCCCAAUCAAUUUGGCAUUUGCCUAAUGUUCGUAACCACUGCAUCCCCAGAAUCGCAUCAAUAGCACCCAAUUCUAAUACAAUGAAGUCUGUUACAAACGUGACUCCUUGUAACGUGAUUGGAACAUUUCGACAAACUCCUCCUCCUUGAACAGAUACUCCUGUUCCCAACAACACUUCCCAUUCACUUCCAGUCUCCACUUUUAACUUCGUUUGCUUUGCUAACGUUGGUGAGAUGAAAUUAUGUGUUGCUCCACUAUCCAACAUCACCACCAUGUCCGUUUUCUUCACUACCCCGCGUAUCUUCGUUGUUGUUGGUGAAAAACGUCCCAUGAAAGAUCGUAAGGAGAUGGAUUUCAACUGUGGUUCCCACACUAUAUCAUCUUCCUCCAAAUCCCAGACUUCUUGAUCCACCAAAGCAACAUCCAAGCCGUUAACUACAGUCAGAACUCGCAAUUGCGCAUUGGGGCAUACAUGUUGUCUCGACCACUUCUCGUCACAUGUAUAACAGAGUCCCAAUCUUCUUUUCUCCGCAAUCUGAGCUUCUGAAAGUCGUAACUGAGGGCGUUGUGGUCUUGUCUGCCUUGGUGUGGCCACUGGUUGCGGCUUCGCUAUCCACCCUGCAUUUGUAUUGAAGUUGGAGUAUGAUUUACUCUUAUUCUCAGGAUGUCUCGAUGUAGAUGUAUUACGGCUUUGCAUUUCCUUCUGAAUCACCGUAAACAUCGAACUCGACUCCAUCUGAUACGCUGUGGAAAUCAUGUCCGGUAAAUCAAUAGGCUUGCACAUUGUGACUACUUCCCUCAUCUCCGCCGUCAAUCCAUUCAUAAAGAUGCCUUCUUUCUGCCGAUCAGUCAACCCCUGCACCUGCGUGGACAGAUCCUCAAACUUGUGAAUAUAUUCUGCAAUGGAUCCAGUUUGUUGAACCGCAAAGAAUGGCUGACUUGGAUCGCGAAGUCGCACCCUACUGAAACGAGCAAUCAGCCGAUCUUUGAAGUCAAUCCAGCUAACAAACGGUUGCCGCAGAAUCUCACUGUUGAACCAACUCAAUACGUCGCCACUCAAACUGACAGACACCAGUUCAAUUUUCAUCAGUUCACCAUAACCUCCAAUCCGAAAGAAACGUUCCGCCAACGCAAUCCACCCGUACACAUCAUCUCCCGAAAAAAUUGGAAGCUCAACCUUCUUGAUGAAGCUAUCGCGAUCAUCCAAAAUCGGAAAUCUAACCGUAUCGUUCGCUUCCCUAAAGCUACGGCCAGGUUCCGUGUUCACGAAUCGUACCUGAGGAUCUUGUGUAAGAUCGAUCGCGCUCGUGUGAGGAAUCACCUCCUCCAUCGGUCUCUUAUCGAGCUUCCGCAGGAUCGCCUCGAACUUCAGGUCAAGUCGUUGUUCCAACUCCGUCAUCGACGAUCGAAUCUCAUCGAUACUUCCUCUCAGCUGCGCGCUCGUCUCACGUUGCUCCGCGACUUGCGCCGAGAUCGUUUCCAAGUUCCCGGACGGUAACGUCGGUCUCGUCAUCGUGAUCAGUCGCGAUUACUCGAUCCAGAACGCUCUCACGCACCAAUUUGAUAAGAACAGAGAUGAUUAUCGAAGAGUAUCCUCCCAACCGCCCACUCUUAAUCUCCACACCCGGAGAGUUAAGCCAUUUACAACAAUCUCUGGAUGCUUCUUUCUGUUGACUCUAGAGACCUUUUAUAGUUCAAGGUCUCCUUUACAAAUAUCUGUAACAAACUCUUUUUGAAUAUAACUACUUGUUGACUAAGUCAACAGACUUCACACUUCAGUCUUCUCUUCUUUACUGUAUAGCUUCUUUGUUCACUGCUCUCUUCCUUCUCGUAGUAUACACUCGUAGUGGCAUAUCA